CACCCAACAACUUCACAUUCAAAAUUCAAGAGACAUGUUGCACAACACACUUAAUGCAACACAACUCAAUACAACACAUCUGGUUAUCCAUUAGGAUAAUCAAGCACAUAUGAUAUAUGACUCAACCAGGAAAGCCUCAAACCUGUCACAUAUGUGUCAAUCAUUCAUCACACACACAUGGGCGCACAUCUCCACCAUGUUUCACAACCCUAAGCACAACAAGCUUCAACUUGGAGGGGCACAUUACUAUAAACCAUAAACUCAUGUAGCAGGCCAUAGAUACUAUAUUUAGUAGCAUAGAAAUUCACUAACAUGGUCCUCAACCCUAAACCCUAAACUCUAAAACAAAAAUCCUAAACACUAAACACGGCAAGCUGCUAACUAGGACAAAAUUACUAUAAAAACAUUGCAUAGAAAUAUGUAUCAAUCAUCUUAAGAAACUUUCAAUUCAAAAUGCAACCUAGCAUUGGCAUAUCACAGUUGGUCAGUGGAAUAUCAUAACAACAUACUUACACCCAGAAUAGAAACUGAUUACAAAGGGAGAUUACCAUUGAUUUUGAUGCUCGUUUCUUUAGUAGAGUACACUUGUGACUUUAUCACACAUUCUUUAGAAGGAGCUACACUUUGGUUAAUUAUCAGUUGCACAACAUGUGGAUUCAUGUCUUGGUCCCAAUAAUGUUGAUGUGAUGAGGAGGUCAGAUCUCUCCUUGAGGUGAAACCCUCCUUAGAGAAGCUGAUGUGAAAAAUUAUUUCAUUUUUCACUUACUGUAUGGAUAUAUAAGGCAUGUUUAUUCUAGUACUAUAGUAGUCAUACUUAUUACAGUUUUUAUGUUUGUGAUAGAUGAUCUCUAGCUCUUGAGUGUGAUGAUUCCAUUCUGAAUCAUAUACGUCAUGUUCCACGGUAGAAAGGGGUUCUGAAGUGUCCAGUAAGCCCAUCCAAAGGUAGCAUUUCCAUAAACAUCUUGCUGCACUUUCGCAAACCUCUGGUAGUCAGUCUUAUUAGCACCUUGCACACCCCACGCUGCCGACCAUUCUCCUAUACAUUAUAUAUACAACAUAGCAGUAUUUAUUUGCACAAUUUAGAAAUGUUUUUUUUUUCUGAAAGGAAUGACUGCCAGAUUGCUUACCAACAAACGUGAGAGGGCGCCCAUUCUGAUUUGUGAUGGCUUUGAGGUCAGAAGAGCGGUUGUUCCUCACAAAGUUGAUGUUCUGCUCUACAGUGAGGUUGUCGAACUUCUUGUCGAACAAGUUGUAGUAAUGUACGUCGAGGACGGCGCCAUCGAAGCUGCCCACAAACUGAAGGAUCUCUGUCUGGUUUGCUAUGUUUAACCUGUUAGACAUGAUCACAUAGGAUGCUGGCGUGUACCGACGCACUGCAUUGUAGCCGUCCUGGUAGUAUUUCAUCAGUACAGACAGAUUUGCUCCCGGUGCCAACGGCUCAUUGAGCAGCUCGAUGGCCAAGAAGGCUGUGUUGUUUGCGUACCUGAUGAUAUAUAGAGCAGAUCGAGCAGCUCGUUAGUACAUUUUUGGUUCAAUCGAUCAAUAAGACUGCAGAAAACUACUAGAUUGUUAAUGAAUUUUUGACCUUUUUGCAAGGAAGUCGAUGACUUGCACGGUUUGGGUGAUGUUUGCAUCGGUAUUGCCCCACUCCUGUGCUGUGACCCGUCUCUGGUUGCGCUGUGCUCAUAUGGGUUCUGUGACCCCGGCGCAUCAUGCAAUGUGACAAUGACACUAAUGUUGUAUUUCCUAUGAACACAAAUUACAAUCAGUCUAUGUCAUUCCUUGAUGGACAUGAAAUUGCAAAUGAAAUAGGUCAGACAAUGCUUGUUGUUGAAUGCAGAUUCGGAGACACACUUACUGUCCCCAGCUGAAUGCCUUGUCCAAGAAUUGAAGAGAGCCUCCAACGAAAGGAGGAGGGUUGUCGCCACUGGCAAUCCACCAUCCAACCGGGACUCUCACUGCAUUUAGUCCACUUGACGCCAUGAAAUUGAAGUCCCUCUUAGAUAUGAAUAUGUUCCGGUGGUUCUAAUAAGAAAACAAACAACAUUCAUGUCCGAACUACAAGCAACGUGAUUCGUAACUAUUGUUAAACAUGUCUGAAUAAAGUCUGCUUAUCUUAAUUUCUCAAGAAAAAAACUAUUAUUGUUAAACAUAUCUUUUCUGCCAAUUAAUGAGUGAAGGAGAAAGGAUUAUUGCUAGUGGAAACAUUAUUAGUGGAUCCAUGAAGCCCGUGCAGUCCACAUACGUUGAUUAUUAUGAAAUAAAUAGUACUAUAUAAGUAUGUGAAUGUUUCUUCGCAGGAUUCUUUCAUGCUUUCCAGUCAUUCAAACAUCCUAACAACAGAGUCCUGUUUAUUCACCGGUUUACUGGUCAAUUUGGAAAGUAUCACCAACUCGAAAUGGAACAGGUAAAGACUCAUUGAGACCAAUCAUGCAUCCUUAUAUGAUGUGUUCCAUCACUCUGUUUCCAAUACGGCGUGCCGUUGUGCCUGUAUCAUCCAUGGCUGUUAUGAGUUCUUAUAUUGGUGUGUUCCAUCAUUAUGUUAGGUUUCACCUAUUAGAACCCAUUUAUUUAGUAGGGAUAUGUUAUGGAUUCUUCUAUAUGAUGUGUUCCAUCAUUCUGUUAGGUUUCACCUGUUACCACCCAUUUAGUAGAGAUCAGUUAUUUUAGCAACACAUGUAAAGAACUUAUGUUCAUCAUCAGACUAAUUAAUGAAGUGGCCUCAGAAAACAAUGUGUCUGUAUAUAUAUCUUACCAUGAGCACCUGUGUUGCAUUUGCUAUGCCAUAGCCAUUGCAUAACUGAUACUCCCCUUGUAAGCCACCAACAUUUUUUGUUACAAAAACUGAGGGGUCAUUGUCACUCCAGUUUGUAUUCUGGCCGUAGUCCGCUGUCACUGAUGCCAUUGUCUUCACCUAACAGCAUCAGAAUAGAGGAAAAAUUCUUGUAAAGCACUAACAUAUGUUUGAAAACUAAUAAUCACAGGUAUAUAUAGUAUAUACAAUACUAUAUGUACUUAGUUUCUUUUAAUAGAAUAUUAUGUAUAAUUAAAAAGAUCUAGUUAUGAAUUAAUGGAAUCCAAUCACCCAAGAUAAUAAUAUAACCAUUGGAUUUAUUUAGUUUUCUAGCAAUAAUAAUAAGCCCCUAAAUUUGCAAAGAAAAUACGCAUUUAUUUUUUUCUGCCAUUAUAAAAGACAAUAAAAAAAAUACUUUGCAACCAAAUUACCUACAUAUGCUAUUGUGAAACAUAAUAAAUAACAAUUUACUAAUUUUCAUCCUUCCCCAAAUAGGUAGUAUAUAUGAUGAGUUAGAAGUACCUGCAAGAAGAAGCCAUUUGGUGCCCUGAUACGCACUCGGCUCUUGUCGCUGUCCCUGCACACGAGCUGGAACGUCUCGGAUUGCCCAGGCGUGGUGGCCGUCGCCACAAGGGCGCCGGUAUUGUUGACGCCCCAAAACUGCCUGCCAUUUACCCUCAAGUUGAAGGUCGUCUCGUUGAUCCUCCACAGCUGCAUGCAUGGAUAAUGAAACUACGACUAGUUGAGAGCAACUUUGGUUAUAUAUAUAUCUAGUACUCCGGAAGUAGGGGAAAAAAAGGUACACGGUUGGGCAAGAUUUUGAUCGACCCUGAAGGUCUCCCAGGCGGACGCUCAUCCGGUCAGCGAGGAUGGCAGCGCCCCCUCCCUUGUCAGCAAUCAGGUACCUUUUCUGGGUGACCGACAUGAAGUGGAGUUGGGUUCCAUCCUGCAUAUAUAUAAAUGCGCACACAGGUUCCACGAAAACUUCACAAAUAUGACUUCAACAUAUCUCGAGCGACAUGUACACAGUGCUUGCCUACAAGUUGCUUAUAUACAUACCAUGGUGCCAUUGUUCGGAAUGCCAUAGAAGAGGGAUGGCUUUAUCCAGCCCUCCGUCACCAGCCAGCCGCCGAGGUUCAUCGCCCGAACAGGCAGCUUCGGUGCUGCGGCCGCGACGACGUGCAGAGGAGAACGAUAAGCGCGAUGCUGCCCAUGGUCGUCGGUUAUUAAGGAUGCCUAGCUAGCAGCUCGCUGGUCGACCAGCCAGCUUAGCUCCGAUAUAUAUGUAUAUAUACAUACACAUGUGCUCGUGAUCAAGAAGCUAUACCAUGCUCUUGCUUUGCUGUGCAAGCGAUCGACGCUGUCGCUUCUUCUUUUUGUCUACGCACGGUUCCAUGUUGCGUAGACACAAUCAAGUUCCGUCCGGUCAUUACUGGAAUGCCCCUCUUUGCCGACUGCCAAAAGCAGUCGGCAAAGGCCCUAAAACAGGUGGUAAAGGCUUUGCCGACUACUUUCCAUGUGGCAGUCCGCAAAGAACACAUCGCAAAGACUUUAUCGGCAAAGAAAUCUUUGUCGCCUGCCAAGUGGAAAGCAGUUGGCAAACCCUUUGUCACCUGUCAACAUGGCAGUCGGCAAAGGAGACGUACACCGUUGUGAAAGACGGAGCGCGUUCUGUUUGCCGACUGCCACGUGGCUGUCGACAAAGGUUUUUUUUAAUUUUUUUUUAACAAAAUUUCUUUGCCAACUGUCUUGAUUGGCAGGUGGCAAAAGCUGUUUUAUUUUUUUUCAGAGCAGAAACUCUUUGCCGACUGCCUUUAUUGGCAGGUGGCAAAGGAUUCUUUGCCGACUGUCUUUAUUGGCAGGUGGCAAAGGAUUCUUUGUCGACUACCUUUACUGGCAUGUGGCAAAGCUGUCAUGGUUUAUGAGAUUCCAGCUUUGCCACCUGCCACGUGGAAAGCAGUGGUAAAGCUGGAAUAAGUAAAAUUUUGAUCUAUUCUUUUUUUGUUUUGCAUCACAGCAACCAAAUCACAUAUAUAAUUAUAUAUCUGGAAUUCACAUAUAUCACACAUAUCCACAUAUAUAUAUGGCACAAAUCCACAUAUAUAGCACACAUAAACCAUAACAAAGGAGUCCAACAAGUCCAUCAUCUAACAAAUCGUACUAAUCGAGCAUCCAACAACAAACAUCCAACACGGUGUGCAAAACCAACAUCAAACGUCAUGCAAAGUAGAAGAACCAUAUAGCCAGUCACGCGUCCUACGACCCGUCGCCACCGUGGUGUGAAGAGCUCCCAGCUGGCCACGAAGGCCAUGAGGACGGUCCAACCUGCGGCGCGCUGCUGUACACCCACCUGGAUCCGAUCUGCUGGGCAGGCGGAGGGUCGCUAGCCUACCCAGAGGCCCCCUCCUGUGUAGGCCUAGGAGGAACGCCACCUGGUCCCACCUGGCCUGGAGAAAGGCCAUGUGGAGUCGGGUUUGAACCCACCGACAGUGGCUACACAGAGGAGAAGCGAUCUCAUUAGUACCUACGGGAUGGCCGUACAAGCGAAAACAAUAGACAGACUGCUAGAAACUCACCGGAGUCCCUAAAGGGCUAGGAACAUGGGGUGGAGCGAGAAGAGGGGGUGGAGCGAAGAUCACGGGAGGCAACGGAGGACAUCUGAAACCAGGGAUCUCCAGGCCCAGAAAGAAGCUGGCAAACUCUUUCAACUGACGUACCGAGUGCUCCUGGUUAGCCUCCAACUGCAGCGGAUGGGCCUCCUGCUGGGCUGCCAGCUGCUACCGAUGGGCCUCCUCUUGGGCCACUUGUUGGGCCCGCAACUCGGCCAGCUGGGACUGCAAUAUUACACGCGUGAUGUUUAAACAAUGCAUAAGGAAAGCUACAUAUGUAAAACCAAUGAACGACGAAUAGUUACCUGAACCGCCGCCAUCAUCUGCGUGCUCUCACCUCCUCCUCUCUAAUACGCGCUUUUCCUUCACCAUGGAAGAUCCACCUCUUGUAGUUUUCCACAAAUCCGUACUUGAAAAGAUCUUUGUAUACCGCCCUAUAUACUUUUCUUUUUUGGUUCUUACACUCCCUGCAGGGACACAGCGUCCGAUCCGACCCUUAAGCAGCCGGGCCAAAUGCUUGCUCUAGGAAAUUAUUGGUCCCCCUAAUCCAUUCAUCGCUCUUCCUCUUAGUUGUCCAGCCCGUGUACAUCCACUCACGGUCAACCAUCCUCUGUCAUGCGCCAAUAUAAGCGAGCAAUAAAACCAACAUUUGCAUCUACAAUGCGUUCCUACCAUCUAAUAGGUGAAGAAUAGGUCCUAAUCCCACCCGAGGAUGCGUAGAUGAGGUUAGCUUCCAUGCUCCGCUCCCGUCCGAGACGAAAUUUCGGCAGCACCUCCCCGUUGUUCUCCCGAUACACGUCCCGGCGGAGAGAGUGUGUAUACGGAGAACAACGGAGAGGUGCGGCCGAAACUCCGACUCGAACGGGAGCGGAACAUGAAAGCUAACCCAUCUACGCAUCCGCGGGCUGUCCAGAAAAUAUGGACAAUCCGAAAGAGAUAGUGUCGCAGAUAUGCACUGAUCAGCAUACCAACGACCGUGUAUCCCUUUCGAACGGGAGAUGCCUAACUAGGGUACGCAAUCUAAAACAACUAUAAGGAUGAGAGGUGAAUUAUACCUAGGGUAGCAGCACAAAGGCGAGUAACGGGGCGGUGGAGAGUCGACGCGGUGCAGGAAGACCCGCAGCGCCCACAAAGACGAUCGGAGUCACCAAGUACCUCCCACAGGUGGUCCUAAAAAAAGGAAAAAAGGUUAGUAUCCACACAAAAUUUCGGCAGCACCUCCCCGUAUAUGGCACGAUGGCCGACAGCACAUAUAUGGCACGACGGCACACAUCCAAGCAAAUUUUAAAUUAAAGAAAGGCGCAUAUAUAGAAACUAUCAUACAAGAUACUUUCAUAAAGAUAUAUAGAUAAACCUUGCUAAAAGAAUUUAUCAGAACUAUAUCUUUCCCCUAAGUUCAGGGUCUCCAAAAUUACAUUCCUGUUUACCAUAAUGGAAGAGGAUGUUUUAUGUCACAUUAUGCAGGAGCAUAGUAAACAUGUUUACUCUCCCAAAUCAGUACAGUGUCCCAUUAUUAAGAUGACAAAUCCAAUGAACUUCUUGUUGAAGCCAUGAAUUUUGCACACCUACAGUUUUCGGCAUCAAAGAUUCAAAUUGGUCAGUGAUGGGCAUUUAUAUGCUUGUUAGCCAUUCCUUUGCACAUUAGUUAGUGUAGCUGAGAGUUUAAGAUGAAAGAAUUUCCAUGACACCCAGAAGCAAGGGCACAUGCUCCCUAUCCAGAAAGGAAAUGUAUCCAGGAAAAGAACCACCUCAUCUAUUAUCUAUACUAUAAUAUACGUUGGAUCAUAGUUCAUCCACAUAAACUCAACAGUUUAAUCGCAUGAUUUGGCCAAGAUGGCCAUAUCAAAAACUUAUUUCAACCAGUGUUGUCGAGAAAAGAUUUUUUUUUUACUAGACAGCACACUAAUAUAUUUCCCAAACCUAGAAAGUGUGUCAAAUUCAGAGUUAGGAUCAAAUUGUUCUUCUAACCAAAAAAAUAAAUGCGGUAGCCCUCCAUGAUUGACCGCAAAUAAUUGCGCUCUAUCUUUUCCCAGAAUAGUGCGAUACAAUCGCCGGCUUCUGAAGCAAAAGGCGCCUAACUAAUUAGCACAAAAGACGAUUUGUGGAGGAAACAAAGACUGACCGGCGAUGCGUGCUGCUCUUCCUUCCCCCUGCUGCAGGCUCUACUACCGCUGCGCGCACAAGGACCAGGGAUGCAACGCGACCCGACGGGUGCAGCAGACGCAGAACCAGCCCGCGGCGUACGAGAUCGCCGGCGGCGUGCGAGACCGCUGCGGGGCCGAGGGCCGAGGGCGUCGCCCCGUUGCCUAACACUGUCGCUGUGGUGCCGUCCCAGAGCUUCCCUGCGCCGUCGUCGUCAUCCUCCAACCAUUGCUCGGGGACGUCGCAGUACUCAAACUCAAGCACCGGGUGUUGGCCGCCGGUGCCGGAGAAGAAGGCUGGGGACUGAGGGGUGGAUGAGAAAAAGCUGCGGUCGUGCGGGGUGAGCGGUGGCGGCGCGUGGGGCAGGGGAGGGGCGGGCCAGCGGCGGCGGAUCUGGUCGGCGGCGGUGGCGCAAGGCGUCCAGCGUCGGCGGGUUCGGCGCGUGUCUGCGCGUGUGUGCGGGCGGCGGCGGGUUAAUGGUUGGACUUGGACGCGCGGGGGCUCGGGGGAUAAGGUCGAUUUAUUUUUUUCUAGAAAACAUCCUUUGCCGACUGCUCCAUCGACAGGCAGUCGGCAAAGGCCCGACUAAUAUUUUAAUAUAAUCUUUUCCGACUGCCGUAGACUAAGGCAGUCGGCAAAGAUUUUAUGUAUUUUUCCUUUUUGUUACAGCCGCAACUUGCUUUAAAUUUUUUGAAACUUUUUAACAUAGACUUUACAUAUGAUUUUAUAAUACCUCGACAAAUUUCGUAAUUCUGUGAUAUUUUUUGUUAUAUUUCGUUAAUUAAUUUCUUUUAAUUGAAUUUUUCGCCGCGUAAUCCAACUUUAAACUGUAGGUGCAUGAAAUAAUGAAACUUAGACAUUAGAAAAAUGAUAUUCAUGUUGUAGAGUUUAUUUUGAGGCCGUGCCCAGAAACUCAUCUAAAAUUUUGAAGUCCUUGUCGACGGAACAUGACCAUUGAGGUGUGGUAUAAGUGUUUUUUAAUUAUAUUAAAUUCAAAUGAAGUCGAAAAAUUACGAAACUUGUUGAGGUGUCAUGUUAUCACAUAUAUAGCCAUUGAUAAAAAUUAAAAAUUUAAAAAGUUUGGACAAAGUUACGACGACAGAUGUAUAAAACUCACACAUCUCCUCAUGUGUUCACAAGUGAUCACAUGUGGAGAUGUGUGGGUUUUGGAUAUUCGAUGUCGUAACUUAAUUUAAACUUUCUCAAAAAGUUUUUAUAGCCUCCACAUGUGAUAAUAUAACACCUCGACAAAUUUCGUAAUUUUGUGAUAUUUUUUGCUAUAUUUCAUUAAUUAAUUUCUUUUCAUUAAAUUUUCCGCCGCAUAAUCUAACUUUGAACUGUGCAUGAAAUAAUAAAACUUAGGCAUUAGAAAAAUAAUAUUCAUGUUGGAGAAUUUAUUUGGAGGCCUUUUUUAGAAACUCACCCAAAAUUUUGAAGUUCUUGUCCACGGAACAUGACCAUCGAGGUGUGGUAUAAGUGUUUUUUAAUUAUGUUAAAUUCAAAUGAAGUCGGAAAAUUAUGAAAUUUGUUGAGGUGUCAUGUUAUCAUAUAUGUAGCCUAUGAUAAAAAAUUUAAAAAGUUUGGACAAAGUUACGACGACAGAUGUAUAAAACCCUUGCAUCUCCACAUGUGUUCCCAUGUGAUCACAUAUGGAGAUGUGUGGAUUUUAGAUAUUCGACGUCGUAACAUGCUCCAAACUUUCUCAAAAUUUUUUGUUAGCCUCCACAUGUGAUAACAUGACACCUCGACAAAUUUUGUAAUUUUAUGAUAUUUUUUGCUAUAUUUUGUUAAUUAAUUUCUUUUAAUCGAAUUUUGCGCCACAUAAUCCAACUUUGAACUGCAGGUGCAUGAAAUAAUGAAACUUAGGCAUUAUAAAAAUGAUAUUUAUGUUGGAGAGUUUAUUUUGAGGCCGUGUCUAGAAAUUCACCCAAAAUUUUUAAGUCCUUAUCCACGGAACAUGACCAUCGAGGUGUGGUAUAAGUGCUUUUUAAUUAUAUAAAAUUCAAACGAAGUCCAAAAAUUAUGAAACCUGUUGAGGUGUCAUAUUAUCACAUAUGCAGCCUAUGACGAAAAAUUUAAAAAGUUUAGACAAAGUUACAACGUCAGAUGUAUAAAACCCACACAUGUGCGCAUAUGUUCACAUGUGAUCACAUAUGGAGAUCUCUCGGUUUUAGAUAUUCGAUGUCGUAACAUGCUCCAAAUUUUCUCAAUUUUUUUUUAUAACCUCCACAUGUGAUAACAUGACAUCUCGACAAAAUUUGUAAUUUUGAGGAAUUUUUUGCUAUAUUUCGUUAAUUAAUUUCUUUUAAUUAAAUUUUUCGCCGCAUAAUAAAACUUUGAACUGCAGGUGUAUGAAAUAAUGAAACUUAGGCAUUAGAAAAAUAAUAUUAAUGUUAGAGAGUCUAUUUUGAGGUCGUGUUCAGAAACUCACCCAAAAUUUUGAAGUCCUUGUCCACGGAACAUGACCAUCUAGGUGUGGUAUAAAUGCUUUUUAAUUAUAUAAAAUUUAAACGAAGUCGGAAAAUUACGAAACUUGUUGAGGUGUCAUUUUAUCACAUGUGGAACCUAUGAUAAAUUUUUUUAAAAAUUUAGAGAAAGUUGUGAUGUCAGAUGUAUAAAACCUACACAUCUCCACAUGUGUUCACAUGUGAUCACAUGUGGAGGUAUGUGGGUUUUGGAUAUUCGACAUCGCAACUUGCUCCAAACUUCCUUAAACUUUUAUCAUAGGCUUCACAUGUGAUAACAUGACACCUCGUUAAGUUUCGUAAUUUUCCAACUUUGUUUGAACUUUAUAUAAUUAAAAAGCACAUCUACCACACUUGGAUGGUCAUGUUCCGUGGACAAGGACGUCAAAAUUUUGGAUGAGUUUCUGGACACGACCUUAAAAUAGACUCUAAAAACAUGAAUAUCAUUUUUUGAACGACUAAGUUUCAUUAUUUGAUGCACCUGCAGUUCAAAUUAGGAUUCUGCGGUGGAAAAUACAAUUAAAAAAAUUAAUUAACGAAAUAUAGCAAAAAGGGUCACAAAAUCACGAAAGUUUUUAAGGUUCACUCUUAUUGCAUGUGGAGGCUAUGAAAAAAGUUUGAGGAAGUUUGGAGCAAGUGACGACGACGAAUGUCCAAAACCUAAAUUCAAAUUUCAAAAAUAAAAAUUUUCAUCUUUACCAACUGUUUGACAGCCUGUGAGGUGGCAAAGGGGACGGCGAUAGGCGCUGUUUAGCCCAAGCCACCUUUGCCACCAGCUUUUCUUUAACACCUGCCAGGCAGUCGGCAAAGGACGUCUUUGCUGACUGCUUAGAGUGGCCGACAGCUCAGGACAUUUGGGCAGUCGGCAAAGAUUAUGUUUGCCGACUGCCCUACCUUUGGCAGGUGGUAAAGGAUUCUAGUAGUCGGCAAAGCCCAGUUUUCAUGCAUAUCACACACAUUUCUUCUGGAUAGCCGGACGUAUGGACUUGCAUGUCGACGAUUCCAUGCAUGCCAAAAGGAGGUCAAAUACUCAAAUGUCUUAAGAUCCACAUCGCCAGAACACAGUCAUAAUCUUUUGUUCCAAAUAUAAAAACUCACGCGUGUCAACAGACGUGUUCUCGAAAACAAAAAUUAUAGAAAGUCUGACUUUGUUCUUGGUCUCACUUAUCUAACUUUUGUCAAAUUUACAAAGAAAUGUAUCUACAACAAGUUAAUAUGGAUCUGAUUGGUUACCUGCACAACUCCUUAUCCAGGUAAUGCGAUCUAGGAUUGACGGGUUCCUUAUAGAAGGCCUUAUGCAGGCUAGGACUUUUCUCAAAUCAGUCUAAAUCUGCAUUCACUAUUCGCUCAAAAGUUUUUAGACCAAAGGCUUUUUGACCUAGCUUAUAUUGAAAGCUUAAAAAGAGGUAGUGCUGAGGUUGCCAACUUACAAAUCAUUACAAAAUAUCAACCCAAACACAAAACCCUCCAGCCUCACGAAAGAAACCACACCAACACUCAUACAAUCAUCACACCUAAGGAUAAGACAAGAUCCUAGCCUAAGCAAAAGUGAAAAAAAACAUGGACCAAGCUGGCAAAGAAGAAUAGGAGCAUGAAGAAAACUCCAUCCUUCUUUGCCGACUUGGUCCACUAUUUUAGAAAGCCGAUUGAUUGUAAGCCACUUGUUUGGGAGUUUUGGUCAUAAUGUUAGAAAAAAACUAGAUCGUUUCUAGUCUUCCACAAAGAUCGCCCACCACAACAAUCCAUUAUCCCCACUCCCCACGCUAGCUAAAAAGUUUUCCUAAAAACUGAGGAUGGAAGUGGAGGAGGUAGCCCACCCUAGGCUAUCUCUAACCCAACACCAUGUUACCACUGCAAUUGGACAUUGAAACAGGAGGCGGUUUACUAAUUUUUCCUAUCCACAGAACUUGCACACUUUAGACCCAUCUCAUUUUGUUCUCCUCAACUAUUGAGCCAUUUAAAUCCUAUUAUGCUAGGCCAUCCAAAGGAAGAUUUGAACUUUCAUAGGUAUCCAUCAUCAUCCUAAGAUCAAUGACUACUCCAAGAAUUAAUACCUAUACAUGCCCCUUGUUGUGAACUUCCCUAGGGUCACUAAUUUCCAAAUUAGUAUAUCCACCUCCUUUGUAAGUAUAACACACUCCAGCUUUGACAUCAACUCCCUCCACUCGGCCAUCUCUUUCCCCAAAGUUCCUUCUAUAACUAAGAUUCCAACUGCAACUUCCACCUCUCUCCAUUGAAAUAUCCUGAUCAUGGCAUAUUUUGAAAAGACUAGAAAAAGUAAUAAUCAAGGGACACUCCUCUAACCAAAUAUCUUUCCAAAAUCUAGUAUGUUUGCCACUACCCACUAUGUGCCCUUUCCCUCUCUCAUACCAUUCUCUAACAGAAUGUAACCCUUGCCAAAAUUAUGAACUUCAUCUGCUUUUGCUCUGACAGAAGCCUACUCCUUUAUAUUAAGGUAUUUCUUUCUCAGAGUUCCAUACACAGACUACCCACAUUUAUUGAUCUUCACAUGUGUUCAGUUCAUUGAUUCCAGUAAUGGGGAAUGACUCAUUGAUUGGUCGUUACUUAUUUCUUUUUUUCUCCAAGCAUUUUUAAUUGAUUGGUUUUGUUUCAUACUGCAACUGAUCAUCAUCAAAACAAAAUAGAUACUAAGAAAUCGAUAUGAAUGGGAUCAUGACUUCUUAUUACAUGAUACCUUGCCUUUGGUAUUGCAUCCAUUUCAGGCAUUCUUGAAAUUUUUCAGUAAAUAAAAUUUCCUCGCUAUACCUUUUUCUUAUCUAGCAAGUCGGGACCAAUCACGCUUAUAACAUUGAGUGGCCUUCUGAUCUUUAUGUUUUUCCUAUUGAUUGUCACUACUAAUGCCAUCAUUGUCUCAGUCUUGAUGUCACUGGACAAUGCCACAUGAUUCUUGGUUAUCUUCUCUGCUUGCUCGGUUGCAGUGUAUAUAUAUCGAAGCAGUAUUAGUUGCUAUAUUUGCCAUUUCUGCUGUUGUCAUCUCACCAGUUGUUGGAGUUAUGAUUGCUACCCGUAAAUCAUCUCUUUGCAUGCAUAAAAAUUUGAGUAUGUUUUAAAUGAUUUUCAGUCGUGGUUUAAUCUUUACAUGUGUACAACUUUGACAAGGCACAAUUAGCAAAAUACUUCAAAUUUGAUAGAAUUAACUUUGAACUUACUUGAUCAGUGUAGACUCCAUGAUGCUUUCUAUGAUAGAUUGAGCUUCUGGUUUUUCUUUUUUUUAGCAUAGAUUGAGCUUCUGGUAUGCAAUGGAUUGUUGCCUGCUUUGUGAAUAGAUGCAAUAUGCCUCUUUGUAAUGGACCUAUUAGGUAGCCAUGUUUACAGAGCUUUGUUUUUCCCAUAUGUCCUUUUCUACCAAUGGAUCCCUUUUCUAAAGUGCUCUUAUCAGUAGUUCUAACAUUAUUUGUUAGGGAGCUCACCCCACACUCCGGUCCGCCAGUUGAUUCCAUGGUUAUCAAGUGCUGAUUUUAAGUGGUCUCACAAUUAAGUUCUCAAAUCUCAAAUCCCUCAUUUUUUCUCUACAGCCUUUGCAGAUGGACUACUCAGUUGUAUAUCAAUUUUCAGUUUUAAUAGCUACUUGACUUCAGUUGUUGAUUAUAUUGUCAAUGUUCAUAUACGGAUGACAUAUUGUAGUUGUCAAAACAUAUUAAGGAAACAAUGAUAGAAGUAGAUGGCUUAGUUUUGAUGUGGUAAUUGUUUUCCUAUUUUGCUGCAAGUUGCCCUCUUGCUUGAUACUUUUAUCAAGGACAGAGCUUCAUUCUCAAGACAUGAUUGAAAAGCUUAAGAAAGCUCUAAAGCUUGGUAUGGAAAGUUUAUCCUGUCCUCUUGGGUUGCUAUUGGACAAUUUCUAAUUCAUGGACGAUUAAUAUGUUUUUGCUAUUGGAUUGAACUCUAAUUACCCAAAGAUGUUUCAGAUUACAUUUUGGAAUCUGAUUGUAGUGCUAGAUAGAGGUCAUAGACUAUUUUAAAAUACAAAAACUAAAUUGAUUUUUGUUAAGUCACCAGAUUAUGCUUUCCAUAUUUUUUUUGCAGCAGGUCUUCCACCAGAUCUUAUUCUAAAUUUCAAUCCUGAACCUGACCGGUUAUAUUGUUGGUAGUUCUUCAACUGGCAUGCUGUUCUGACAUGUUGGUUUUCUUUACUUCAGCUUUAAUUUCAAUUACUAAUAUUUGGUCUCUUAAAAUUUCAGCAUCAUGCAGUAAGAAAGUGGAAACAAAAAAGGAGUAGAUGAGUUGGUAGAACCAUUGAAAAUAGCACUAGAAAAAAGAAGUUGUCUAGGAAAUGAACCAAGUACUUGAUAAAUGAACCAAGUACUUAAUAUAUUGUGUAAUUGCAGCAAACAAGUUUUUAUUGUCUUUUGAGCUUGAGGACAAUGAUGGAUUUAGUCUAUGUGUAGCCAACUUAUCACUUUUGUUAGUCCAAAUGAAAAGAAGAAAACAAAGUUGAUUGGCAAACAUGAUGCCAAACAUGUGAAAAAAAUAUAUUUUCUUAUCAUAUUCAGAUCUUGUUUAUUAGUAAAUAAAUAUUAGUUAAUUAGCAAACAAGUAUUUUUUAUAAAUAUUUUAUUUAAUUUAUUCGUAGCGUAGACAGGCACCACGGCAGCGCGUGCCUUGUUUAGUUUCUAAAAAAUUUUGCAAAAUUUUUCAGAUUCUUCGUCACAUCGAAUCUUUAGACGCAUGCAUGGAGUAUUAAAUAUAGACGAAAAUAAAAACUAAUUGUAUAAGUUUGGUCGGAAUUGAUGAGAUGAAUCUUUUGAGCCUAGUUAGUCCAUGAUUAGAUAAUAUUUGUCACAAACAAACGAAAGUGCUACAGUAUCUAUUUUGCAAAAUUUUUUAUAACUAAACCAGGCCUAAGAGGAAAGGAGAAGACGCGAAGCAGAGGAAGGAAAGAAAAAGUAAACCAAGACCUGUCUAGCGUGUAGAACCGCCGCCACGCCUCGCCUCGCCUCGCCGUCCGAGAGAAGGGGAAAAAAAUGCUCGCCAGAACCCUCGUCGGCGGCGUCCGGACCCGCCUCGCGCCGUCUCUCGCGAGCCUUCUCCUCCGCCGCGGCUACGCGUCCCCCGCCUCCUCCGCCGCUGCGGCGGCUGACGACCUUGUCAUCGACGAGGACCCGCCGCGCGCCGCCUCGACGUCCGCCGCCGCCGCCGCCACCACCACCGUGGCAGCCACCGUGCCGACCGUCCUGCAGCCGCGCGUGCUCAUCUACGACGGCGUCUGCCACCUCUGCCACCGCGGUGAGUGGGACAGCGAUACCCUGCUCUGGCUGGGGUUUUCUGGGGGGAUCAUUUCGCUGGCUGGCUUCCCGAUUGGGCGAACGAUUGAUGGGCACUCGAUUGUUGGGUCCAGGGAGUUUUCGUGGUCGAGAAAUUGAUCUCGCCUUUGCAAUGCAGGGGUGAAGUGGGUGAUCAGGGCCGACAAGCACGCCAAGAUCAGGUUCUGCUGCGUGCAGUCCAAGGCUGCCGAGCCAUACCUCAGGCUGGUGGGCAUGGACAGGGAGGACGUGCUGCGGCGUGUUCUCUUUGUCGAGGGCCCUGAGGCCUACUACGAGGGCUCUACAGGUCAGUUACUACACUUAUGAUGGGAUCAAAAAAGUUUUUGUGUGCUAUGAACAGACUAACGUUGUGAUGCUGGGGUGGUGUGCAAUGCAUGAUAGCAAGAAUGCUAGUAGCAAGUUAGCAACUAUGAGCUAUUUGGACUAUAUUUCUUCUAUUUGACUUGAGUUGCAUGACACCAUCUUGGAGGAUAUUUCAGUUCUUGAGUUAUGUGUCCAUAGUAUGCUGUGCCAAUGUGACAUCUGUCAUGAUUUAUGAAUAGUGGGUGGAUAACCUUUCGCUUCUUGUUGAUGCUUAUGAUUUGGUCAGCUGCAGGAUUCAUCGUUAACAAGCAUUGUGAAGGAUAGUGAUGUUGCAACUUGCAAGCCUUAUGAUGUUCAGUGGACUAAUUUAAAUUUCAGUUUGUUCUACCUCAUGUUGCCCAUUCUACUAUUUCUCUCAUCAUGCAUUCUUUACCAAUGAAAAAAAAAAAGAUGUUGUAGUUGUAGCUGUUAUUGCAGAAUUGCCCUCCUACAUUGAAAGCUUGCAAAAUUUUAGAAGGUGAGCUCCAUGUGAAUGAUAAACCAAACUUUGUAUUGUGACGCUGUGAUAAUAGUGACUUUAAACUAUUAGAGGGUAUGCUAAAAGAAGCUAUUGUUUGUAGAAUACCCAUUUAGCCAAAGAAAAGGGAGAAGAAAGCAUUUUUUUUUCUUUUCCUGUUAAGCGAGCGUACUUUUAAACUAUGUCAUGUUUCACCGCUACUUUUGUCUCUUAGUGAUGUUUAAUUUUGAGCUGUGUCAUGUUUCACCAUAACUGUUUCCCUCUUAGUGAUGAGUGAUGUUUAAUUUUGAACUAAUUAGUGCUAACAUCUUCAUGUUUUGGUUUCAGCUGCACUGAAAGUUGCAUCAUACCUGCCUCUUCCCUACUCAGUCCUUAGCUCCUUGCUGAUCGUCCCCACCCCACUGCGGGAUGCAGUCUAUGAUUACAUCGCAAAGAACCGCUAUGACUGGUUUGGCAAAGAUGAUGAGUGCAUUGUCACCAAGGACAAGGAGAUUCUGGAGCGCUUCAUUGACCGGGAGGAAAUGCUUGGUGGUGGUCCCAGCAAUAGCUUCUUUUGAUUGCAUUUUUGGCUGUGCCGUUGCUCACACUUAUACUGUAGGAAAGCGCUGUAAAUAAUCCUCGUCUCCAUCUAGGUACUCUUCAGAUAGUUUUCUUAACUCCUAGAACUUCUGCAUUGCAUGUUAACAACAAUGCAUCGAGCACCUGCAAGGUUUGUCAAAUCAGGUUUAUUCCAAGUUGAUUGCAAAACGUGAGCUAGUUGAUGUCUAAGAUUAGAAUUUUGCAAUAUGGAUUGGUAGUCGGUGUAAGGCAUGAAAGUUACAAGUGCCUUGAUGUGACAUUAUAUCUUUUACUAUACCUGCUGUCUCGUAUAUGGGGUAUCUCGUUCAAAUAACUGCACUACAUAAUAAUAUACUCAGUUGCCACAUUUAUCUUAUGAUUUUCUUUGCGCUGAGACUUGCAAUUCAUGUGAUACAAAGGAUCUCUUUUAGAGGCUGAGGUCGUUGCUCAAUUUGUAUAAUUCAUGUUUCCUGUAAAGGCAUGUUUGGUUCUCUAUACCCAGCCUUGCCAGCGCUUUCCUUUCCAAAAUUUGGUAUGCAAGCAUCUGGUUUGUGUUAAACUUUGGUAAAAAUUCCUCAUAUUGCCAAUACUUGUUUUUCUUGCCAAUGUUUGGCCAGGUCGUUGGGUGGCCAAAACGGUGACCAAACUUUGGUAAGAUUCGGUAGGGUAAUUUGCCCCUAAAUCUCUACGGCUUCUUGAUUGCUUAAACGUCUUACAUAACUGGAUGAUUAUUAUAUGAAUGAUAAAUAGGUCAUCAGAUAAAGUUUAGGACAACUAAUAGCUCGUUUAGUUGAGAUGCUUCAAAACGCUAAGGAUAAGCUAAUGAGAUGUUUCACACAGUUAUGCAUGAGCUCAGCUGCCAGCUCAACAAAUCCUUGUACUUACUGAGAAGAGGUUUUUCACUGACAGAAUGCUUCUUCAACAAGGUUGGGAGAAGCAUAGAAAGCGAAGCUGAAGUACAAAGGCGUUUAGUCCCCAGGAAGUCGAGGUAGGUUAGAGAUACAUACAGAUAUAGAUGUACAAGAUACAUUCUCUACAUGAACGUUCAAAAACAGCUAAGGCCUUGUUUGGAUGUUAUCGGAUUUACCUCAAUCCACAUGUGUUGGAGUGGAAUUUAGUUUAAGUUUCACUCCAAUCCACCCCAACACAUGUGGAUUGAUGCGAAUCCGACUAUAUCCAAACAAUGCCUAAAGGUUGCGCUCAUGGGGUUCCAGCCAAGGGAAUCCAAGCGUCUCAAACACAUCCUUCUCGGUGUCACAGUUAACUAUGGCAUCCGAUCUGCCAGCCUGUAAAAAAUUAUAACAAAUCAACUGAAACUGGACAGAAAGGUUUCCCAUUCGUGAUGAUAUGAAUAUACGUACAUGUUUUCCACCACUGCCGCGGGUAGCUAGAUAUAAUCCAGUAUCGUCAAGUACAUAUCCUUUAGAAUCUGCUAGUAGCCUUAAUCUGCAUGAUUUGUUGAGUUUAGAUCCAAGGGAAGCGGUAGUUUUCAUUCGGUGACUGUCAGAUAAGAAAAGGGUAUAUUUUGAGUUAUACCGCCGAUUUAGUACAUCAUUUCCAGUCCAUGCAAGCAGACCACAUGCAUAUCUGUUCCUCGGGUAUACCUGUCGAUACACAACAAUAGUCAGUUUUAUAACCCAGAAACUGGUAUAGUGUCAGGCUUGUGAAUUCAUCAUUCAGUGCCAGAAGGAAUAGCAAAACAGGGUUUGUUGUUACAACAGUAACUAGAAAAAGAUCAUGACAAGUCAGUUAAUGUAAUUACUACAUAUAAUACGGGGACCACAAUACUGUUCCUACUUUUCAAAAGCAACCUAACUGACGAUGUACAUUGGAAACUUCCAUGUACCUUUAAGUCGAUACGGUGCCGCAGCUCACGCCCAGGGUACGUGCAAAGACCAAAGUAUGUGUCAACCCCGCUAUCAGACCCCUGCAUUGAAUUUCAACCAUUUCAGAACUCAUAAAAAACUUGGAUUUAGAGUUUUAAGUUAAUUUAUCAAUUUAACACAUCAGCUAAGCAGUUAUUGCUAUCACAGGAACUGCUAGAGAACUACAGAAGUCACAGCUCACCAGGUGGUGGAAUUUAACAACUUACAUCAACACUGUGUAUGCUAAAGAUAAGAUCCUCCCUCAAAAAGUUAAUUUCCUUCAACCGUUGAACAAACUUGGGUAAAAAUCCUACAUGGCUGAAGGAAAAUUUGUAACGGUUUAUGCAAACAUUUAUUUAUGUACCAACAAAGUUCUAAAAUCUUUUAGGUUUACCUUUCUCCAUCAGGAUGAGUUAUAAUAAUAUCCAUGUCACCACAAGAUGCUUUACCACGUCUAUAUGAUCCUCCACAAACAAUUAUUACCUACAAACAAAAAAGAAUGUACGCAAAAAGUUCAAUAGUAUCUAGAAAUUGUACUUCAACACUGCAAAAUCAGAAGCAUAGAGAACUAUACUAAAUCGAUAAGAAAGCAUUUCAAUUCAACCGGUAAAGAAACACCUAGAAUGUUUGCAAUGGAUAUAGCGUCAACAUAUGCUUCAAUAUUGGCAUUUAAACAGCUCUUGUGUGCUGGAGAAUACAGUAGUUCCCCAAAAUGGUGAAUUUUAUGUAACUCACCCCAGGCAAGAUAUCAGUCCCAACAUCUUUUAAAAGCUCCUCCAUCUCGCUAACCUAGAUAUUAUGAAGCAAUAUGUAUCAUAUGCAAGAUCCACAUAAGCUAGUAACAAAUACACACAUAAUCAUACAAACUACAUACUUCAUGUCGGGGUAUUCUUUGCUUGAUAUCAUCAAAAAACUUCAAUCCAAUCCUCUGCGCAUUUGUAAGUGAUUCAUCUUUGCGUAGAUCAUCAAGAGUACGGUGUCCCUUUUCGUAUAACUUGAGCGCAGUUGCAGGACCAACUCCCCAAACUUCACCAAAUAAACUGAUGGUCCUUACCUUCAAAGUGAAUUAUGUUGAUAUUGCCAAAGGUAGCUGAACAUGUCCAAAUCAUGUUUUGCAUUACCUUUUCAUCAUUCUCAAAGUGUUCCAGCUUGGAGAGUUUUCCAGUGGUGACUAUUUCAUUUAUCUGCACACAGAGAUUGCUGGAUUUAGCUGAGGUCAUGGACACUGCAAGUCUAGUUAUAAAUGUAAGACUCCUAAUGUUUCUGGGAAUUGUACUUGUACUAGUUGGCAUAGUAAUGAAAACAAUGUACGACAUCCAGUGGUACUUUGCUACUAUUUUGAACAAUAUGAAAGGCAAAUGUCUUUGUCAGAACACAAAGAUCGCACAUGCCUUCUAUUCGAACCAGAGUUCACAAUAUGAUUGCUAAGUGAUUCACAAGAUAUUGAAAAAACAUGACUACUGACUACUGAGGUAUGUUUCUUUCACAUUAUUGAGCCCAAAACAUACUCAUUGGCCUGUUCAUUUUGUAGAAAUAGUGGUAAACAGCGAGAACAAUUUUAGGAAGCAAUAUUAACAGUAAUCAAUGGUAGAAUUAGACAUACAUACAUGGUCUUUCAAAGAUUUCCCGAUAGUAGGGAGACCUUUGACUUGGUCAGCACUUUCAAUUUUGAAUGGCAAUUUCUCAAUCACCGGUAUGGCCUUGUAAUAGCUAAAUGAUCUUCUGUCAUCUCCCAGGGCUUCAAGAGGAAAUAUGAUAUGUUAAAGGCUUAAAGCAAUCAGUUAAUGUACGAGAGAGUUUAGUGCACUUACCCCUAUAGAUAUCGAUAAGUCUUCCGAAAAUCUUGGUGAUGUUCCUGUUCAAGUCUGCUGGAGCAUAUAUGCUGGGCCCUCCAGAAGAGGCUUCCUGGUCACACAAUUCAUGAAUUAGCACAUGAAUAUAAAUAUCCACCUGAGCCAUAAAUAGAGAAUACAGAUAUCAUAUUGAAGUUUGUGAAAGUGAGGUCCAAAUUCAUUAACAAUGAACAUCUGUCUGUUUUUAUUCACAUUAUUUGGUAUGGACACAAGAAAUAUGAAGAAGGAUGGCAUGAGAAAACAAUAUAGUUCAGAAUAAAAGAUGGAACACUAGUUUUUCAGAUUGCUUUUAUAUACCUCUAUGCCAAAUGUACCAUGAGAACCUACGGUAUCCUUGGAAUCUGCUGAGCUACUCUGGCUACUUGCAUACUGGUUAGGCUGCUUUCCGGCACUUGAUCCUUCAACCAUAUGUGCACUUGCACCAGGAGACCCUGCAGCUGCUAGUUCGCUCUCCCUGUCCCCUCCACUAACUCUCUGGCAGUCCCCAGGAUACUCAGAUGACAUUUUGGUCCUUUUAGCCGGCUGCAGCGCACCUAAAUUUUCAGUGCCAACCGCAUUCUUUGGCUUUAAUUCCUCUUCGUAAUUGAUUGCAAACUUGUGGUUGGGCAGUCUCUCCCCAGACUUGAGGCACUCCUCCAUCCAUUCGAAGGACACCACACUCUGCAAUCAAUUGUCCAAUCCAUAAAACGGCAAUUUGGCAUGACAAUUGACAACACGAAGCCUCCACAGGUCAAUGCAGCAACGAGAUAGCCAAAUACAAAUGGCAGCACACACGCAGCAGCUUGCACACAGGAAGGAAUAGGAGGCUAGGGCUUGUAUCGCAAUGGGAGGGGGGAAGAGAGCAGCGAUUACCCCGCGGAAGCGGUGGAGCCAGGCGGCGUCGAGCUCCCGGAGUAGCGCCUUGGCGUCCAUGGCCAGCACGUGGUUGAACCCCGCCAGCUCGCCCUUGGGGGGCUUCUCCACGACUCGGCCCCCCAUCUGCACCAGCCUCUGCUUCCACACCUGCAUCGACCAUCCCCAAAUGCCUAAGCACACAAUAACGACUCGAGGCGCCAACGAGAGUGUGGGUUGGGGGAAGAGCGCGACCUCGAGGCGGCGAGCCUGGACGCCAUGGGGAACGAUGAAAGCGGAGACGCCGCGGAAUAUGCCGUCGGGGUCCCGCUCCGCCGCUACGGCAGGCUUCCGCUUCGGCGCCAUCAGAAACCCCUCCCGCCUUGUCCCCUUGCGGUUGUGGCGGCGUCGUUGGGGGUUUUCUGCAGUUCCGCUGUAUACAGCGACCAACUUCUUCCCCUUUUUGGUUUUCAGUUGUCCCGAGGAAUGGCCUUCGGCCAAAGAAAAAACUUUGAUCUUCUCUAUAAAUUUAUUUUAAAAAGUAGCAUAUUUGUAACCAAACUAAUCUUAUUUUAUCGAGUAAUAUGUUUUCAUAACAUAACUAUUUAGUGUCGUGUGCAUUAAUAUUUUUCUCUUAUAAAUGUAGGUCAUGUUUCGAUCUAUUAGUCGCUACUCUCUCCGUUCCAAAUUAAAUAUAUUAUUUUGUUAUGCAUCUAAAUAUAUGCUAUGUUUAAAUACAUGAUAGAAGCUGUGUUAAAAAAGCCAAAACGCCAUAUAAGAUAUAUUAUGUGUAGGAAAUGCAAUACUGUGUGCAAUAUGCCCAUGGGAAGACAGGCCUCGUGACUCUGCCGUUUACACAAUGACAAUAAUAUAUGAUUAUAGAAAGCCUAGCCACACCAUUUGCACAUAAAAUCUUGCUAGAUCAAUUUACACGCAGAAAACCAAAUAAUGAGCAAGCACAGUAAUAUUUGCACAAAAUCAUUUACAAAGUACACCAUCCAAACAAAAAUCAAAACCGCACACAAAUCCUAUAUAUUGAACUUCAAUGGUAUCCUCCUCCUAACAUGGAGAGGAGGGGAUUAUUGCUUGUAAAAAAUCAAAUCAAAUCAAAACUUAUAGUUUCUUUCCCUCAAAUUUUACAACUCAAGCAAUGUACAAAACCCCAAAAAAAAAACAAACAGAAGGCACGCCGAACUAUCACCAAUAAAUAGUAUUCGAUCCACACUCUGUUAAAAACUGUUGCUAACUAGUAACUGUAACCAGCUAACUGCUGUCUCAUGCAGUUUCUGCAGUGUCAGUUGUAGCUGAGGGCUUUUCAGUGGCAGUGUCGUCCUGAGAUGACGGCUCAACGACUGUGUCGGCGUCUGCCAGCUUCUCAUGGACUGGGUCCUCUUCCUCUAAUGGUUUCCCAUUGGCUGAUUUCUCAGGGGACACGUCCUCCUCUAAUGCCUUGACACCAUUGUCCUCUUCCUGCUGUGGCUUCUCCGUAGCUACAUUGUCCUCUUCCUGCUGUGGCUUCUCCACAGCUACACUGUCCUCUGAUGACUUGGCAUUUGCCUCGUCGUCCUCCGAUGGUUUCUCAAGAGCAGCAUUGUCUUCCAAUGGCUCUACACUUGCCUCACUUCCCUCCAAUGACUUCUCAAGUGCCACACUGGACUCUGGCUUGGGAAUCACCUCAUCUUCUUCUUUUGCUUCCCCAAUGGCAGCAUUGUCUUCUAAUCGCUCUGCAGUUGUUGAGCCUUCCUCCAGUGGCUUCUCGGGAGUUACAACAUCCUUCGAUGGCUUGGCAGUGACCUCUUCUUCCUUCAAUGGUUUAUCGAGAACAGAAUUGUCUUCUGAUGGUUCCACACUUGCCACACCUUCCUCCAGUGGCUUCUCAGGAGUUGCAAUAUCCUCUGAUGGGUUGGCACUCACUUCAUCGGCCUCCAACAGUUUCCCAAAGGAUGCGUCACUUUCUGAUGGCUCCGCACUCGUCUCGUCCUCCUCCAGUGGCUUCUCAGGAGUUACAGUAUCCCCUGAAGACUUUGAGCUCUCCUCAUUGGCCUCCAAUGGUUUCCCCAGGGGAGCAUUGUCUACUGAUGGCUCUGCAUUUUCCUUGUCUUCCUCUGAUGACUUCUCAGAAGUCACAUGGUCAUCUGGCAGCUUGGCACUCACCUCUUCUGGCUCCUCAAUAGCUUUGUUUUCCUCUGAUGGUUUGCUGCUGGUAUCUUCAUGGUGUAUGCAAUCUUCAACAACUGUGUCACUUCCUGGUGUUGUUUCUAUGGGUGCACUUCUCUGAUGUGGUGUCUCAUAAGAAAUGUCACCCUGUACAGGUUCAUCAGUGGUUAUGCUGCUGUUCUGAUGGCAUACAGGAAGUGUUUCAGUAUCUGAGCUGCUUUCCGACGGUUUAUCACAAGCAGCAUCACUUUCAGUUCCCAUUGGCUUCUUAGCAGAUGCAUCAUCUUGAGGUUUCACUGGCUGAUCAGUUGCCUUAUCAGGAAGAGCAUCAAUUUGGAGUUCUGGUGCCUCCAUGGUAAUCACAUCAGUUUGAGACUCUGAUGGCUUACUGACAGAUGCAUUGCUCUCAGGAUCUGAUGAUGGUACUGAUAGUUUAUCAGCACCUGCAUCACUUUGAAGCCUAGAAAGCUCAUCACUAGGUGUGCUACUUUGAUGCACUUCUGGCUUCUCAGUUGAUUUAUCGCUUUGCGGUUCUGGUGACUGCUCAACUGACUGAUCUGCAUUAUUUUGUGAUUCUGCAGUUUUUUCUGUAGCUAUGUCACUUUUAGGCUCUGAUGAAUCUUUGGCAGCUGUAUCACUAACAGGCUCUAGUGGAUUCCCAGAAUGAUCCUCAUUUUGAGGUUCCAAUAGCAGCUGCAUAUCCGCAUCCUUCUGAUGUUCUGAUGGUUGCUCCUUUGGAACCUCAGCAGGUGCAACGUGUUGAGAUUCUGAUGAGUGCUCAGCAACUGCAUCAUUUUUAGCUUCCAUUAUAUUGUCAGCUUCCUUCUCAGCCACAAUGCCUUUAGACUCUAAUUGCUGCCCAGCAUUUGGAUUGCUUUGGAAGUCUGGAGGAUUCGUACCAGAUGAAAGCCCUUCAGGUUCUGAGUGAUCCUUGUUUAAUUUAGUGGCAUUACUUUCAAGCUCUAGCAUAUUCUCAAUAGAUACUUCACUCCCUUUCGUCUCCGCAGCAAUCUUUUCACUUUGAUGUGGCUUCUCAACCUCUUCAGUUUUCAGUGGCUGCUCAGAUUGUUCGUUAGUUUGAACUGGCUCCUCUGAAGCAUCUUUUAUUGAUGGCUUCUCAGUGAUUAAAUUGGUUGGAGGUGGCUUCUCAACAGCCAUGGCACUUUGCAAUAUUUUCUCAGUAUCCAUAUUCCUCUCCAAGAUCUCCUGAGGGGCUGUAUCACUUUGAGAUGGCUUCAAUGUGGCUGCUACACUUUCUACCUUCUCAGUGAUCAUACUUUGAAGUGGUUUCUCAGUAGCAGUGUCAACAUUUGAUAACUUCUCAGCAUUAAAAGCACUUUCUGAUGGUUUCUCAGUGGGCUCAGGGAUCUGACUAGGUGUUAUGGUAGGCAUGUCAGUUUGUGAUGGUUUCUCUGUGGAAACAUCACUUUGCAAUGCGGUUGCAGCAAGUGGUGGCACUUUGGUUGUCUCACUUGUUACAGAUAGCUUCAUGGAUGUAUCAUUGCUCUUCUUUGUAACUUUGAUGGUCUGCGAUUGGUUUUCAGUGGCCACAAUGACUUUCUGUGGCUCCUCAGUAGGUACAUUGCUCUGAAACAUUUUCUCAACCGUGUUGCUUUGCACUAGACUCUCAACGACCACCUUGCUUGCCAAUGGCUUAUUGCUAGACAUAUUACUCUCUCGCUGGUUUUCUGGAGUUACACUUCUUUGCCAUGUCUUUUUCACAGCUACGUUGCUUUGGAACGGCUUGGAGACAGCCACACUGCUUUGCAAUGGUUUCACAACAGCCGUACCACUUUGUGACAGCUUCUCAGUUGCAGCACUGCGCUGCCACAACCUUUUGACAGUUCCACUAGCUUCAGUCGUCUUUGGAUCAACUGCAGUGGUCAGCGGUUGCUUCCCAGUGUCUAUGUUGCGUUGCCAUGACUUUCUAACUACAGCUGCAGUAGUCUCUGAUGGCUUUACACCAUCUGUAGUCUUCGUAUCAUCUGCGCUCUUAGUGUCAUCUGGACUGGCGACCAAUAGCUUCACAUCAUCUGCACUCUUCACAUCAUCUGCACUCUUCACAUCAUCUGCACUCUUUGCAUCAUCUGCACUGGUGUCUGAAGGUUUCUCAACGUUUUCAGUUUGUUGCUGUGGCACAGGGGCUACUGUACUGGUUUCCCCUGGUCUCACAUCAACCACACUGGUUGCAGACGAUUUCUCAGUACCUACAGUGCUCUUUAGUGACUUAUUAUUGAACAUCCUGCGUCCCCAUGGACUUUUAACUUCUGUGGUGUUAUCUAAUGACUUCAUGUCGGUUGUUGGUGAUGGUUUAUCAGUAGCUACACUUUUAUGUGACUUCUCAGUUGGUGCACUGUUCUGUAAUUGCUUCUCAGCAGCCAUAUUGCGUUGCCAUGGUUUUUUGACCACUUUGCUGCUUUCUGAUGGCUUUGCAUCAUCUACACUGGUCGCUGAUGGCUUAUCUGAUGGUAAAACGAUCUGUGGUGGAUUCUCAGUUGGCACAUUUUGCUGCCCUGGUUUUUUUACUAAUGUGCUGCUUUCAGGCUGUCUCAUAUCAACCCCAUUACUUGAUGAUGGCUUCUCAGUGGCAUCACUGCUCGGUGAUGGCUUUACAGUGCUUGUGCUACUCAGAAAUGGUUUAUCUGUUUGCAGACUUCGUUGCCAGGGUUUUCUCAUGGCUGCACUGUUUCCUGAUGGCUUUACAUCAACCACACUGUUCUGCAGUGGCUUUUCUACACUACUUUCUGAUGGCUUGUUGUUGACAACAUUACUCUUUGACUCACUCUCAGUACCUCGUUCAUUUUCUGCCAUGGUGCUUUCAGAUGGUUUUGUGACAUCAACACUACUUUGCAAUUGUUUCUCAGCUGCAACAUCAUUCUUUGAAGUUUUCUCAUCUAUAGGUUCAUUUUCUACUGGUUUCUGUGUGACUUCAUCACCUUGAUUUGGAUUUUUGGUGGCUUCUUCAGUUUCUGGUUGUUUCUCACUAGCAACUUUUGCAUUCCCAGAAUUGUCCUCGAACUGACUGAAAUUCCCCUUAACCAUAAACAGUUGAGAAUGGUGGGUCUUGCAAUAAAGUUUGCCUUCAUGGGUGAUAUGAUUGGAUGGGCUGAGCGUACAACCACCAUGGGUGCAGCGGAAGCAUGAUUUAUGAUAAGAAUUUCCAUUAAGAGCAACCUGCAAAAAUGUAACAGCGUGAUGUAAAUGUGCCCUUAAAUUAUACUCUGCAAAAGAGGCUGGUUAAAAUUAUUCUAUGACCCUUUGACAGCUAUGCACUUAGUGCACUAUGAUUCCAUUCCCAAAAAAAAGCACUUAGUGUACUAUGAUAGAGGUCACUGAAUUCUGAAGGACAUACACCAUCACUUUGGCUUGUGGUGAAGAGAUCGAAUUUUUAAUACUAAGAUUUUUUUUCUACAUGUUACAUGCAAUGGAGAAUUAUAUUAGAUGCACUAUCCUGAAAUUGCAAUUACUAUAGAAUUUUUCCAAUACUAAUAGUCAUAAAAAGUUUAAUUACAUUAGCAGUUGUAAAGAAACUAUGCUUUCUGAUUUUUCAGAUAAUGGAACAAAGUUCCAGCCUCUACCAUCCGUGGACGGUACACAGCUGAACUAUGCUUCUGAUAAAAUACCUCUGAGCAAGAUUAUGAAUUUAAACAGAGGACUCCCCCCACCCCACCCCCCCACACACACCUACCACCACCACACACAUACACACACACACACACACUUAGGACAUGAAUAGUUGUCAGCGAGUACACUUAGGAGCAAACUGUGCUUAACUGCCAAAGCAUUUUUUACUCUAGUUUAGUACAAAAGAGGAAGACUGACUAAUACUGACCUUCUCAAGCGGGUACACAGUCUUGUUGCAAACUACACAUUUCUCUUGUGUGCCAACAAACAUAUUAGAGAAUCUACUGCUUUGUUGGCCCUGCACAUUGACAAUAAAAAAAAUAGAGGAAAUUGGCAUAAAUUUGCUGUAUAUUGCAGUAUCAGUGAAAUGUAUUAGGCACCAGGCAUGCCCUAGAGAAGCUCAGAUACCUUAUGUCCAUUUGAUUUUUCUGACUUAGCUGAUCGGGCCACACCUGACAUAUAACACAGUAAUAUUUCAGAGAACAACAUUAGUUCGCUUUUUUCUCAAACACGCAGGAGAGAUAUGUAUCAUUGCAUUAGUAGAAGAAGAGAGUCGUAUCCCACACAAACACCACUGAAAAAGUGUUAGCUCACAAAGAUGUGUUAUAUUAUAAAAACAAUGCUAAAAUAAAGCACCUGGUUUACAGGAUGAAAAGAGAAAACCAUUGUGAUCGUGUGCAUAAUAAGAUGUGAUAAUAUAAUUUCAUAUUCAAUUGCAGCUAUAAGAACUGUAGCCAACACUCUUGUAGUGUAGCAGUAAGCUCCCCAAUUGAACGAGAAACCGGCCAUGGUCCAAAUCCUGGUGGCAACCAAAAAAAAUCCCUUUGUGUGCAACCCAAAAAGACAGUGUGCCAGGGCGCCUGUGGUGCUUGUGGUUGGUUUGGGCCCUCCUAUCAGGGUAGUUGCAGUUGUCACAACCCCAUAAAGUCGUGGUCGGCCCAGAUUAUGUUAUGGCCCUAUAGGGUGAAUCCAGGGUUUGGGGUUUUUUCUUGGCUUGUCUGGUUGAGGCUUCUUCUUAAUCAUAAUGCUUUGGGGAGGCUGUUCCUAGGGUUGAUUUAUUUUUUGGAGUUGUAUAAUUUCGAUCAGAAACAUAUGCACUGUAGCAUCUACUCAUGCAAAUUGUGAGGACAAUAAGGUAUUUAAAAUAUAUAUAUAUCACAGCAUCUUAGUCCAAUUGAUUGUCUCUAAUACCUUCAAAACUUUUCUCCAAACUGCCUGUUGAUUUUAAUAUCUGGUCAUAGUGAGGCUUGCAGUAUAGGACACCUUCCACGGAAGAAUAAUUACUAAACUGCAGAAAGAAGAACCAGAAGAAUGGGGUUAGCUCCAGUAUUAGUUUGAUUAGGUUUCACAGAUGCACAUUUUGGCUGUAAACAUAUGAAGAUAAUACCAUUGUCAACUAGUUUGACGUAGCAUAAGUAUUAUCAUUAUUGCUGUUGUAAAAAUGUAAAGCUUCUGAAUAAAGCUACAGUGUGUCAAACAAUGUGCUCUAAAGUAAUAGUGGUAGCAUAGGCUUCUUCUGAGUUUUGUUCUGCUGUUUAUGUGUGCGGGUGAUCUGUAUGGGGCUCUACUCCCCCUCUUUUUUUUCUUCUUAAUAUAUUGAUACACAGCUAUCCUGCAUGUUUGAGGGAAAACAAUUAUAUACAAACAAAUUCCAGUACACUGAACUCCCCACUUUACCAAGAACAAAAGUGCUUCAAGAAUCUAGACUGUUUUUCUAGAAGAGAAAAAAAUCUUCAAGCAUGUCUCAAGUCUUGCGCUUUGUGAUUUCUACCCAGCUCACUAUCAUGCAGGAACUAGUAUUAUUCUGGUUAGGUUUCACAAGUGUAGCUUUGGCUGCAAAUAAGAAAAAAUAGCACUGAUGCCCACUAGUAUGAUUGUAGCGUAAGAGAUUCACUAUGAUCAUUAUUGCUCUCAACAAAAUUAGAAGUCUCUGAAUUAAGGUGCAGCUGUGCCAAACAACACGUUCUCAUGGAAUAAUGCAAGCAAGUCUAAUCAGGUACCAAUACUACAUCCAUAUUGGAAAGGCAUUUGUCUUGCACUGCAUUAUUACAUGAUUAUAUGUCAACUGACUGCAAGAAUUAUGACAGCUAUGCCAUGUGCAAGGGAAAGCAAGUACAAAGUGAUCAUGAUAUAGCAAGGCACUGUUUUAAUACUUAAAGUGAUAGAUAUGACAUCUCAUUACAUCAGUAGCCUAUUGAGAUGGAUUCCUCAAAAAGUUAAAUGCAUAUUAUAUUCAUAGAAGGACAGAAAUCUUUAGAUAAUGACAUUAUUUCACACUCUACAUUAUCAUGAUUAAAAGGUAAGAUCAAUUGUCAUUAGGUAUUCAUCGGGGAACAGCUGAAGAUUUAAAUGCGCACUUGCCAUGUGGUUGCAAGAGAAAAGUUCACUGAUGGCACAAUCGUGCUUAAAUGAAACAACAAAUUCUGUACCCUGUACUGUGUACUCCCUAUCCGUGAUUUUGUACCCAGUUCGCUAACAAGCAAGAACCAGUACAAAUUCAACGCGUAACAAGUAACUCCGUGCGCAAAUCCUGCACAAUCGCAGUCGACAUGAUCAUGCAACCUAUAACUGACAAACCCAGACCAAGGAAGUACAGCAAUUGAAGGAAGCAGCCAAGCAAUUCGAAGCAAGGACAAGAAAGCAAGACAAGACAGCCCAGCUACUCUGACUUGAGCGACGCUCGCAAUAAUAGCCAGAAUCACAAAAGCACCAGUAACAGUGCGACUGAUCCUACACGUGAACUUUCGCUUCGUAAUAACAAGACUGUGCUCGACAACACCCCAAGAGUCCAUGCGCGAGCCGAGCAGGGGAGGGAGGAAACGAAGGGGGCUGAAGAGAGAGGGACCUGGAGUGUGCUCUUGCAGUGGUGGCACCGGAAGCAGGGGCGGUGGUAGACGCGGCCGUCGGCGGCAAGCUCCUCGACGGGGUACACCGUCCGGCCGCACGACGCGCACUUCUGCGUGGUGCCGCCCCACGCCCCCGACAUCCCCUCGCCGUCGCCGCCCUCCUGCUGCUCCGUCGUAGCGAAGGAUCGAGGAGGGAGAAAAAGGAGAGAGGGAAAGAGAAGGAGGCGACGGCGACGGGUGGGGUGGAUGAUUGGCGGAGGUGAAAACGGAAGGAGAGGAGAGGGCAGCACAGCUCAGGCGGCCUGUGUGUCGUGGAGGGAGAGGGAGAGGCGUGGGAGAAUAACGGAGGCGCGGACGGCGAGUUGGUGCGGACUGCUGCCGGUGUGCGCUCCCGCGCCUGCUUUUGUCAAAAGAGGUCGGAAUUGCUACGGACACCACCGCAGGCCGCCUGCAGGGAAUUUAGGGAUGUGUCAGUCGUAUAUUUUUGAAAGGAAAAGUUUUAAAAAAAAACUUUCUUUCAAAGUCUGAUCAUGAAAGUGUCAUCACUAAUGAUAUUGACAUUAAAAUAUUUAUCAGGUACAAACUUAGCUAGGUCUGUAAUAACAUGAACUUAGAGGUUGGUUAUUUAGAGCCUCUUUGGUAUAGGAAUUUUAUAGGAAUUUAGAGGUGACUACCCUAUUUUUUUUAAUCUAAAAAUCUAUUUAGAGCCUCUUUGGUAUAGGAAAUUUAUUGGGAUUUAGAGGUGAAUACCUUAUUUUUCUAAUCUAAAAAUCAAUGUGCUCCAGAUAUGCCUCAUAAAUUAGAAACAAAUCCCAUGGAAAUGUACUCCUUAGAGCAACUUGAGAGACUCUUUAAAUCUUUAUUGAUAGGAAUAUAUAUUUUGGUGAAGAAAUACCCUCUAACAACUUCUUUAAUCUAUAUCUCCUAUAAAGAUAAACCCCAUUACCCUAAUUCUCUAGCAUCUCCUUAAGCCACGUCAUCCACUUCCCACCUCCACCUUCACCCCGUUCUCUAGCGUCGCCUUCCUGACUCUCGCAUCUUCAGUUAAACAAAAACGGAUCCCACCUCCAAUUGCAGGCUGCAACCCAUCUUCCAGCGCAGCCUCUUGGUGGUCAAGUGCGCCACCUCGCCGCCCUUCCCCGACCCUCCGCCUCCACCCCUCAAUAUUAACCAUCACAUUACCACAAAUAUCUCCUAUAAAGAUAAACCCCACUAUCCUAAUUCUCUACCAUCUCCUUAAGCCACGCCAUCCACUUCCCACCUCCACCUUCACCCCGUGCUCUAGCGUCGCCUUCCUGACUCUCGCAUCUUCAGUUAAACAAAAACGGAUCCCACCUCUACCUGCAAGCUGCAACCCAUCUUCCAGCGCAGCCUCUUGGUGGUCAAGUGCGCCACCUCGCCGCCCUUCCCCGACCCUCCGCCUCCACCCCUCAAUAUUAACCAUCACAUCACCACAAACGAACAGACACAAGCAUUUAUCUUCACAUUGAUUCCUCAGCCACAUCACUGCAAACUCCUUACGAAAGAAAUUGAACCAUCCUGCUAACUUUGUGUAUAAAAUACCUUUCCUUACCUCCUCCACUGUGCUCGUCGACGCCGACGACAAGAGAGUGCAGACCUCCACAAGCGUGUGGCCUUCUCCGAAUUGGCUACUCCACAUCUGCGUGGCCCUUCACCGCAUUGGCGCCAGCCAGGUCUGCCUCGAUGCUAGCCUUCUUUGCCUCCGCGUGGAUCUCUCCGCCUGGCUGCUCUGCAUAUGCGUUGAUUGCUCUGUGUCUGCGUCUGGCUGCUUUGCCACGAUCUGCUUCUGGGUUGCCCUUGGUUGAGAUUUGAUAAGGUUCCUAGCACAUCCGAAGAGAAGAGACAGUACACAGGGUCAGGCCAUUGGCUUUUUUUAUUCUCCAAACACGUGUACCCGGUAGUUUUUUUUCCUAGCCCAUUGGUAGAAUUUUUUUUCUUUUUCUAAUGAACUCUAAGUGAACGACAUUGAGUCCAUGGCUGAAAGGUCCUUGUUUAGUUUUGGUAAUUGAGUGACAACUUAGGUGGACUAAUAGUGUUUAUGUGAGAUACACAGGAGAUUAGUCCACAGGUGAUGAUGUGAUAAUGGAGGAGCUCAUUACAUAUGAUACAUGACAUGGAGUCAUGUGACCAAGGUGGAGAAGAUCAAGAUGAGGCUUGGCUUGAUGGACCGGUUGCAAGAGUGAAGGGCAAGUCGGAGGCUUUGAAGCGAGGGACCGCGUGUGACGGUGAAGCUUGAGCAAGACUUGGCGCCGAUGGACCGAGGCAACGGUGAAGAGCAAGUGAGGUCAAGAUCGAUGAACCAAUACGGUCACGUGAUGAUAUGAAGUGGAUCAUAUCAUUUGGUGAUUGGUUGGUGCAUGUGUUGCAUCAACAUUGGAGGAGUUGGAAUGGAAAGCGCAAGGCAAAGGUAUAACCUAGGACUUUUCUAUUUCACCGGUCAUAGGUGUGUAGAGAAGUUUAUGACCGGAUUUAGGAUAGAUGGCCGUACUAUCAAGAGGGGCAAACUUGUUUGCAUAUCGGUCAUCUAGUGCCACUUGAGCGAUCUAACUUUGCAUAUGUGUUAGGAUCGAGUGGCGUGGCAAGUUUGAGAGGCUAACUCCUUUGGGAAAAUUGUUUGUGAAAAGCUAACACACAUGCACAUGGUGGUGUACACUUGUUGGUGUUAGCACUUUUGCAAAGGAGGUGGAGUUCCUAGGGUUGAGAGAGGUGUGGGUUUCUCUCUCCUUCCCGCCGAGCUUGCGAGGCGGGAUUCGGCGCUUUUGAGAAAAAUAAGUGUAUAUUUUCUAUUGCGCCGGUGGGAAAUUUGGAGAAGUCGCGGGAGUGUUUUCUCUCUGAGAAACACUCACCGGACGCUGAGUGCGGAGGCACCGGACGCUGGCCUCAGCGUCCGGUGUGCUUGACUUUGCUAGGGUUAAGCACCGGACGCACUCUGGUAGCGUCCGGUGGUUAGCGUCCGGUGUGAGGGGUUUUUGUAACCCUCUCUGCGCACGAGUCCGGUGAGCACCGGACCGUCCGGUGCCCAUCGUCCGGUGAGGUCGCGAGUUUGACAAACUCUCUGCGCACGAGUCCGGUGAGCACCGGACCGUCCGGUGCCCAUCGUCCGGUGGUGCCGUGCAAGCGCGCGUGCGCAGUAGCCGUUGGCGGCAACGAUUGACUUCAAACAGCUAGUGACACGUGGCUGACGCCUGAGCACCGGACGCUGGGGGUUGAGCGUCCGGUGGCUCCCUGUGAGCGUCCGGUGCCCACGUGUUUUGCCCAGUGAAGGGGCAACAGAUAGUUUAGCCCUUGGGGCUAUAAAUAGAAGUGGUGGCCGGCCUUGGCUGGUGCUGAGCACCCUUGGGACUUAGUGUCCAUGCUUGGGGAGUGCUAGUGAAGCCUCUAACUCACAUAUACUUGAUAGUGUUGAUCCGAUUGUGUGAGUGAGCGAUUCUAGUGCGUUGCAUUGAGAGAUUGCUUUCGAGUGGCACUAGGUGUUCGUGUUGCAAGCCGGUGGUGCUUGUUACUCUUGGAGGUUGCCACCUCCUAGAUAGCUUGGUGGUUUGUGACUCCGUCGAAGCACGCAAGGAGAUUGUGCGGUGCUCCGGAGAAGAGAUUGUGAGGGGUACGGUGCUCACCCCGCGGGGAUCGCGAAGAGCAACUCUAGUGGAUUGCUUGUGGCUUGGAGGAUCCCCAUCUUGAGAGUGGAUGUGCGGCACCCGCUGAGGGUUUGGCUUUGGAAUGCUAAUUAGCUCGUGAUCCAUCAAGUGGGUGUAUCGCCACAACGAGGACGUAGCUUGGUGGCAACCAAGUGAACCUCGGUAAAAAUCACCGUGUCAACAUUAUCUACUCUUCUCGGUGGUUUGCAUUCACUAUACACGAGCUUGUAUUUACUUUCUUUAUAUACUUGUGCUUGUGUAGUUGCUUUUGUAAUUAGUUAAGCUUGUGUAGCUUGCUAGUUACCUUCUUGCUUGUGUAGCUAAAAGUAGUUCCCCUUGCGUGGCUAAUUCAGUUUGUGUAACCUUGUUAGUCACUUUGCUUAGUUUGUGUAGCUAAGUAAGUUGCGCUCUCUAAUUUGGCAUUAGUUGCCUUGUUAUUGAGCUUGCUAGUGAGCUUAGGCUUUGUGCGCUUUGCCUCACUAGUUUGUGUAGGAGCUUCCCCGGUUUGCAAAGUACUAGUUGCAUAGGUUUGUGUGACCUUGCUCCUAGAAUUGUAUAGGCGAGCUCUUGCUAAGGUAGCACCUUGCUUACUUGUUUAGAAUCUUUUCAAGGUGCUAGAGAACUUAGAUAGAGGGGUGUAGUCUUGGCUAGACCGAUAGUUUUAAUUCCACAUUUGUUUCGGUUAGCCGGAGCGAUAAGUUUUAGAAAGGACUAUUCACCCCCCCUCUAGUCCGCCAUCUCGACCCUUCAACGGCUGCUGGUAUAGGGAGUUAUGGUGUUAUAUUUGUGACAAUUUGAGUUGGAGAGUAUUUUGUUUUGUUUUUUUAAUAAAGCCACCUGUAUUUCGAAACUAUAAAGUAUACAUAUACGUCUAAAGAUUCGAUGUGACGGGGAAUCCGAAAAGUUUUGCAAAAUUUUUGGGAAACUAAACAAGGCCAUGGUGGAUACGAGGGUAGUUUGAUAAGUAAAAAACACACGAAAAAAAAUAAUUUGCUCUUUAAUAUUAGAUAUAGCUAUAACUAUUGAUAGAGAUAUAGAUAUAGAUAAAUGUAGGACAGACUCAUAGUUUGUGAGCCACAAAAGAGGUGUAUAGUGCUGGUACAUAUCUUACCUUAAGGUGCAUUUCCUGUGUUCGUGUAGCAUUAGCACACCCAAAUACCAAACGAAUGAUUAGCGCUUGUUCCGUUCCAUGCCCCGCCGCUGAACGCCUGAACUGAACGUAUCACAAGCACCCCGCCUUCUCGAUGACACGUCGGACCCACGUUACGAGCACCCACACAUGUCAAAACAACAAGCAGGACUGCAGGCAGUGCUAGACACGAACUUGUGUGGCCGUACCCUUUUCUUCAUUUCCGUCCGAGCUCAGUCAGUGGGCCCGCGACGAACCUUUUCUCCGCCCCGAUCCGUCCGGCGCCCGGCCGUCCACCUCCUCCGUCCGGUGCGGUGCACCGCGUCGACCAUUUUCUCCCGCGGCCUCGGUCCCAGCACAUCGACGUCCAACCAAUGGCGAGGCCUCCCGCGGCUGGCACGCCCGUUGGUUGGAGUUGGAGCUCGAUCGGCACCACCACGGCACAGUUGUUGGCCGCGGCUGAUGCAUGGGACCGGGGCUGCCGCGUUUCGACCGGUCCGAUCGCGCCGGCCGCCCGAGUCACUGUGACGCUCGCCUCGCGGCGGCGCCGCGCCUACCCUAAAGUCGUUACCGUCCUCGUGACGUGGCCCUCGAUCUGUCUCCUCCCGCGGAGUCUUGACGACACUGUGGACGAUUGUGGUCACUGGCCCGACGCUCCAGCGGUUAGCGUGAUCGAUCUGCCGACUACCGCUGUGAAUUGGCCUGGCCCGCACCCAUCUUCAGGCCUUGUUUAGUUUUAAAAAAAAUUUAGGAAAUCAACACUGUAGCAAUUUCGUUUAUAUUUGACAAAUAUUAUCCAAUUAUAAACUAACUAAACUCAAAAAAAUUAUCUUAUUAAUUCCGACCAAACUGUGCAAUUAGUUUUUAUUUUUAUCUAUAUUUAAUACUUUAUGCAUACGUCUAAAGAUUCGAUAUGACGAAAAAUCUAAAAAAAUUUGCAAAAUUUUUUAGGAACUAAACAAGACCUUAGUCAUCAAAUCAAAUCUUACGGCACAUAAGCCUAUUUAGUUCAGGUUUAAUUUGCAAGACGAAUCUUUUAAACCUACUUAUAAUCUAUAAUUUAAAUAAUAAUUACCAAAUACAAAUGAAAGUAUUACCGUGUCUAAAUCUAAAAAAAAUACUAGAUUUAAACAAGGCCUUAAUCAUCAAAUCCUCUGCGCUUUUUUUUCUCUCUCUUCGGCCGUUCGGCGUCGGGAAUUCGGGGACUCCGACUAGCCUUUUCCGUUAGCGUGGGGUGUGGGUGUGCGGGAGUGGAGCCAAUGAGCCGUGGAUCGCGAGCAGCGCCCGUCCCGCCGUCCGUGCUGCCUGUAAAGCGCAAAGGCUGUUCUGUUUUUCGGGGACGCUGCUGGUGCCCGUCGCUGCGAUGGACGACGGAUAUAUAUCGUGGUGGUGGGCGACCGCUUUUUUUUUUUUUCCCUGCAGAUUUCCGCUAUCUGGCCACUGCGUGGUGCAAGUGAGUGGAAUCAUGCUGUCCGCUGGUUUGCACGGUUGGCUCUGGAUCGUGCUCGCACGAGCGCGCCAAACCGCCAACCAUGCAUGAUGGUUUAUGGAUCCAUCGUUUGGAACUUUCGAUUCGCCCACCUAAAUUUUUUUCGUCCAUCCUAUCGAAUCUUUGAACACAUACAUGGAACAUUAAACGUACAUAAAAAAUAAACUAAUUACACAGUUUGAUUGAAAAACGUGAGACGAAUCUUUUAAACCUAGUUACUCCAUAAUUAGCCUUAAGUGCUACAGUAACUCACAUGUGCUAAUAAUAGAUUAAUUAUACUUAAUAGAUUUGUCUUGUAGUUUUCUGAUGAGCUAUGUAAUUUGUUUUUUUAUUAGUUUUUAAAAACCCCUCCCGACAUCCUUCCGACACAUCCGAUGUGACAUCUAAAAAAAUUUCAUCUCCAAUCUAAACAGGACCAUUAUCCGGUGAUGCGCCGAUGGCAGGGCCCUAAGCUGCCUGCCGCGCCGGCGUCGUAGGCCUCGUGCUCGUGGUUCGGGCUCCAACACUAGUUCAUUGCUGCUCACUCCUCAGCCACGCUGGGCCGAUGCCCUAUAAUUUGACUUUCAGUACGUACAAAUACGGUGAAAAGAGCUUCAAACGUCUUAUAUAGUCUUAUAAUUUAGAAUGACGAAAAAAGUACAUAACAAAUUUAAAGAAAUCUAAGUAACUAAGACUAAUCUAACUAUAUUAAUUUAUAAUCUAAGAUAUCUUUUUACUAUAUGCGUACUUGUUGCGAUACGCUACGCAAUAGUAUAACGACUACAGUGCACUACCCUUUACAUCCUCAAGUUGUAGUGUGUCGAUAAUGCUAAAAAUAAUAUUAAUUAAAAUUUUUGCAUAUAUGCAAGCCACUGCUCACCCUACCAAAUUAUACAAGGUUUAACGUUCAAUUUUCCUUAAGGAUAAUAAAACUUGGUCAACGUAAUGGGUGUUGAAUAUGCUCUUGUAAGUGCUGACAGUGCCUCAUCCGAGCUUUUUCUAUUUGAUGUCUUGGAAUUCAAGCAUAUCUUCUAUGAUAUUCAAUAGUACUCCUUGGUCUUUUAUGAGGUGUUGAUCACUUGAUCUUCAGGUUUUAUUUGUCCAAACCAUCCUUGCAUCUAAAUGAACUAAAAUCUUAUAUACUAGCAGACAAUAUUAGUCCAUUUUGAUCAUGCUGUCAUUCAGUGACCAAAACCACAUAUGGCACAUAUGCUAGGUGCCAUUUUCCUUAUAGAUGGGACCCUAUCCUCUGCUAACUUUUUGUUCCUAGUGAACGAAUUGAGACACCAAUUUAGGGUUUACUAAUGAUAGAAAUAAGUUAUUGAGACUAAUAUGUGUUUUGCAUAAUUUAUUUACAUUGAUUGGUCAUAUUGAUGAGGUCCAUGUCCACAUAAGUAUGAAUGCAAAGAAUAAUCAUGAAAGGUAAGGAUUUUAUAUAGAUUUUAAGCGCGUACUUGGUGUCAGGAUGCACUUAGAAGUAGAAUAUGUCUUUGUUCUCCUCGAGCCAUUGAAUGCAUCUAGACCUUAGUGUGGCAAAAAUAGGUUUUUGAUGAUCGAUGAAUACAAGUAUUUGUGACUAACAUGUACAAGAAUAGUGAGAUGGAAUGUUGACUGACUUGGUGGUUUAGAGUUGGUGCCUAUGAGGGACUAAAGCUAUACGUUGAGAGGAGGCGACAUGUAGGAUGAAGUCAAGGAGGAGGCUUGGCCACGACCUUGUUGAUGAGUCGAUUAUCCUAAGGUUGCAAACCACAACAAUAUAUACUAGAAUCACUAUCUCUCUCUCUUCUUUAUUUUUCACUUAUGCUCUUUGAUAGACUACAUAUUUUAGUGGCAUUCAGUUAGAAGGACUGAACCUAAGGGCUUCUCGAUCCAGUGGCAAGGCAAAAACGACUCACGAUCCUAGCUGGACCACGAUGAAUCAAAUUCAUACAAGUGCACUAAUCGACUCAAUGAAGGAGAGAGAAGAAGUUGGCUCAUAUUCUUACAUCGGCUCGUCAUGAUUAAAAAAAGUCUGAGAGAGACACCAAGAGAGACUAGAGACUGAGACGCUUUGCAUGAUGUUUUUUAUUCGUGUACACACGGCUGCUUGCACGAGAAAUUGACCCAUCACUAGAGAAAGCAAGAGUCGAAUUAAACCGAAUCUGCCAGCCAUUUAGCAGUGUUUUUCUUUCACAAUAAAUCAGUCAUAGUACUUUCUGCCAUGGCUUAUCAACCUUGUACACAUAGUUUGUAGACUUGAUUGAGUUUAAACUCCGAUCUUGUGUAAUAUUAUUUUUUAACAAUUUUUUUACCUAAAAUCAUCUAAAUAUAUAAAAGUACACGCAAUAACCAAAAUAUCAUGUUUGAAUAUUUUAAAAAGAUGUAAAAAUUGAAUUAGGUAUGAAGAAAGGGAAAAUUUUCCCGUAUUCUUUUUUUUAAAACAAAUUUUCCCGUCAAGCGAAGUCGAAUCUCGCUCCAGCGCCUGUGCCAAAACGGCCACCCAAGAGAAGUCGAAUCCCGUUCUCAGGCCCCAGCUUCAAAAUCCUGGCUCCACCGCUGCCGCCGGAUGAUCCCCAGCCGCUGCCGCCGCCUCCUGCCAACCUUCUCACAACCCAAUGUCCCGCUCCGCCGUAACCUGGCCGCCAACGCAGCGCUGCAGUGGCUGGACGACGAGCUCGCGUCGCUCGCGCUCCCCAAGCUCGACUCCUACGCGUGCGCAAGGCUCCUGCAGCGCUGCAUCGCUCGUGGUGACGCCCGCGCCGGCCGCGCCGUGCACGCGCGUGUCGUGCAGCGCGGAGGAGUGGCGCAGCUGGACACCUUCUGCGCCAACGUCCUCCUCAACCUCUACGCGAAGCUCGGCCCACUGGCCGCCGCGCGUAGGCUGUUCGACGGAAUGCCGGAGCGGAACAUGGUGUCCUUCGUCACGCUCGUGCAGGGCUACGCUCUGCGUGGGGGGUUUGAGGAGGCCGCGGGGCUGUUCCGAAGGCUGCAGAGGGAAGGCCACGAGGUGAACCAUUUCGUGCUCACCACGAUCCUGAAGGUGCUGGUCGCUAUGGAUGCUCCUGGGCUUACCUGCUGCAUCCACGCCUGUGCAUGCAAGUUGGGCCACGACAGGAACGCCUUUGUUGGGUCAUCGCUGAUUGAUGCCUACUCGCUUUGUGGGGCUGUCAGUCAUGCGAGGUGCGUGUUCGAUGGGAUCAUCUGGAAGGAUGCUGUCACUUGGACGGCCAUGGUUUCUUGCUAUUCUGAGAAUGACAUACCAGAGGAUGCGCUUAAUACUUUCUCCAAAAUGAGGAUGGCAGGUGCCAAGCCUAAUCCGUUUGUGCUUACCAGUGUGCUCAAAGCUGCAGUUUGCCUGUCAUCUGCUGUGCUAGGCAAGGGCAUCCAUGGUUGCGCAGUCAAAACACUUUGUGAUACUGAACCUCAUGUUGGUGGCGCCUUGCUUGACAUGUAUGCCAAAUGUGGAUACAUUGAGGAUGCCCGCACUGUUUUUGAGAUUAUUCCCCAUGACGAUGUCAUACUCUGGAGCUUUCUGAUAUCCCGUUAUGCUCAGAGCUAUCAGAAUGAACAGGCAUUUGAGAUGUUCCUCAGAAUGAUGCGGUCUUCUGUUGUGCCAAAUGAGUUUAGUUUGUCCGGUGUUCUGCAGGCUUGUGCUAAUGUCGCCUUUUUGGAUCUGGGCCAGCAAAUUCAUAACCUUGUUAUAAAGUUAGGCUAUGAGUCUGAACUAUUUGUUGGCAAUGCACUAAUGGAUGUGUAUGCGAAAUGCAGAAAUAUGGAAAAUUCACUUGAGAUCUUCAGGUCAUUACGGGAUGCCAAUGAGGUGAGCUGGAACACAAUUAUUGUUGGCUACUGUCAGUCUGGUUUUGCAGAAGAUGCUUUGAGUGUGUUCCAGGAAAUGCGUGCUGCGCAUGUGCUCUCAACUCAAGUUACGUUCUCCAGUGUGCUCCGGGCUUGUGCAAAUACAGCAUCCAUCAAACAUACUGUCCAAAUUCACAGCUUGAUUGAGAAAUCCACAUUCAAUAAUGACACAAUUGUUUGCAAUUCACUGAUUGAUACAUAUGCCAAGUGUGGAUGCAUUAGGGACGCUCUGAAGGUAUUUGAAUCUAUAAUACAAUGUGAUGUAGUUUCAUGGAAUGCCAUAAUCUCAGGAUAUGCUCUCCAUGGACGAGCCACAGAUGCUCUGGAACUUUUCAACAGGAUGAAUAAAAGUGAUACAAAGCCAAAUGAUGUCACUUUUGUUGCUCUUCUGUCCGUCUGCGGUAGCACAGGCUUAGUCAAUCAAGGACUCUCUCUGUUUAACUCUAUGACGAUGGACCAUAGAAUCAAACCAUCUAUGGAUCAUUACACUUGCAUUGUUAGGCUUCUGGGACGUGCUGGCCGUCUAAAUGAUGCUUUAAAGUUUAUUGGGGAUAUUCCUUCAACACCAUCUCCUAUGGUUUGGCGAGCUUUGCUUAGCUCAUGUGUAGUUCAUAAGAAUGUAGCUCUGGGAAAAUUUUCAGCAGAGAAGGUGCUUGAGAUUGAACCACAGGACGAGACAACCUAUGUAUUACUGUCAAAUAUGUAUGCUGCAGCCGGAAUUUUGGAUCAAGUUGCUCUUUUGAGGAAAUCAAUGAGAAACAUAGGUGUAAAGAAAGAGGUUGGUCUUAGUUGGGUUGAGAUCAAGGGGGAAGUUCAUGCCUUUUCAGUGGGAUCAGCAGAUCAUCCAGAUAUGCGGAUAAUAAAUGCAAUGCUGGAAUGGCUAAACCUGAAGGCUAGUAGGGAAGGUUAUGUUCCAGACAUAAAUGUAGUAUUGCAUGACGUGGAUGAGGAAGAAAAAGCUCGCAUGCUAUGGGUCCAUAGUGAGAGGCUGGCUUUAGCAUAUGGCCUUUCUAUGACACCUCCUGGCCAUCCAAUACGGAUAAUGAAGAAUUUGCGUUCCUGCUUGGACUGCCAUACCGUGUUUAAGGUUAUAUCUAAAAUAGUUCAACGGGAAAUCGUCGUUAGAGAUAUCAAUCGCUUUCACCAUUUUGAUGAAGGAAUAUGCUCCUGUGGUGAUUAUUGGUGAUGUUCUAUCAUUCAUUGGUUUAUUUGAACAUAGGAUAGCAUAUCCUAUAUAGUGCUACCAGUACAAUUUUGUAGGAAAGCUUCUUUCCAUGACAAGAUCUCCAAAAUAUACAUGCAUACUUGAUUUUCUGGAUGAACUAUUCUGAAGAUGAUAUGUUGCUUGAUCUGAAGAGUACUGCUGCUGAUGUCCUGUUUGGCAAAAAGUGGUGGAGACCAUGUCUUGGCAAUAGCACUGGAGCUCGCUACCAGUGCAGCUCCCAUGCCUCCGCCACCUGUCUUUGCUCCCAUCGCUGACUCCUACUAUCUCUGGCCCCACCACAGCCUCUGCAGUCUCUGGACCCACCGCUGCUUGCAGAUCCAUCCUGGAUUUUUGAUUCGCUGCAGUGACCAUCACUGUGGCAUUAAGGACGACGAGGCUGAGUUAACAAUGCUGCUGUGAUACUUGCAAUGGGGGAGCUUAAUGAGCGGUUAAUAAAUCAUCUGGGCUAUUACAUCUGCAGUUAUGCAUAGGGAUACAUUUAGAGUAGCUCUCAGCUAAUGAUAUGCUGUUUCUUUCUGCUAUAACGGUAUAACCAUAAGUUGCUGUUGCUGCUUUAAUUUUUGAGGUUCAAAGAAGUCCAAUGGCUGAGACUACAAGGGAGGCAGUUCGUAAACUGGAACUUGAGGUAGUGUCUUUCACUCGAUGCCAUUUCUCUUCUGUCUUAGAUUUUGAACUCAUACAAAUAUUCUAUGGUAACUGACCUUAUUCGCUACUCCAUUAGAGCACAGGAGAAUCAUGAAAUGUAAUGUCUCCCUAUCAUGUAGCCAGAGAAACAAAAAUAUUCGGGCAGUUUUAGUUUUGGAGAUACCUGGAUAUCUGAGAAUAUUGCAUAAGAAUUAAUUAACGUCUUUAGUGUAGUUCUCCUGUCAGAAAUUGAUCAUGAUCUAACCUAAUACUAUUACUAUAUCAUAUGAUCGUCGUGAAUGCACUGCUCGCAUUAUAUUGGCCCUUUUUAUGUGCUAGAGCCUGGAAUAUAGUUGGCUUUAAGGACAGUGAUAUUGAAGUCGUCUGGGUGAUGGAUCAAUUAAAAGCUAUUUCACAGCACUGUCAAAUGCACUAAGCACUACUGUAUAUGUGAGCUACCAUCAGGAGUUUGUUGUGUUAAAAGAAUCAACUGUUUCUGAAUGCUGGACAGAAUCUCUCUCUCUUUUUUUUUUAGAAACAUGACAGAAUCUAUUCAGGCUUCUCCAGCUUUAUCAUUUCCUUUUACCACCUCACCGCAGCCUCACUUAACUAAUCUGCAGUUUCAUGCCUUACCUAUAUUUAUUUUAACGAUCUGUUGUUUCAAAUUAGGCCUUAUGAUAUGUUGUUUAUCAUGAAGAUGAUGGUGCCUCACUAGAUAAUGGAACUGCCUUUAAUGGUGCUUAGCUUGGAGCCUGUUGAUGGCAACAAAAUGGUUCUACAUGAUUGUGCAAAGGUAUUCUCGACUGUUGUCUGUCAUUAUUGUUAAGUAUUUUGAUCACUUACACUAUGGUGGCCAUGUGGUUCUGCGACCUUGGCAGCAACACUGCUGCACCUCUUAGUCCCUACCUCAAGCUCUUCGUAAGUGGAGCUAAUAAAUCCUAUAAUAUUUUUAGAGUUAUAGGGCCAAGUCCCUGCCUUAACCAAGACAAAAAACGUUUUACAGCAUCUAGAUAGAUGGACCACAUCUUACCGUCUAGAAAAGAAAACAUAAACAGUUUAGAACCCAACUAGAAACAUUUCACGAAACCAGAACCCAGCCUCGCUCACAUCUCCCAGGAUACCCAUAGCCUUGAAGGAUGCACCUCUUCUGCUUCGGCCGGCAGGAAGUUGUCUUUCCAGUUUGUAGCGUUCUGAAAUAAGAAGCUUCUCCCUGUGUUCUAUUGCAUCAGCAAGUAAAUCUUGCUGGGCUUGCUGCAAUUCUUCUCAGGCCUUGUUUAGUUCACCACAAAAACCAAAAACUUUUCAAGAUUCUCCAUCACAUCGAAUCUUGCGACACAUGCAUGGAGCACUAAAUAUAAACGAAAAUAAAAACUAAUUGCACAGUUUACAUGUAAAUCGUGAGAUGAAUCUUUUAAGCCUAGUUACUCCAUGAUUGGACAAUAUUUAUCAAAUAAAAACGAAAAUGCUACAGUCCUGAAAACCAAAAAAAUUUGGGAACUAAACAAGGCCUCAGUUUGGCAAGUUUAGAGUUGAACUCUGAAUGUUGGUCCGGUGGGCAGAGUACCAAUCACCCCAGUCCUGAGCCAUGACUGCAAUUUUCAGAAGCAAGGACUUCAAAUCGUUUCAUGUACUCCUGAAAAAACAAACCGUUCCUUAGUUUCCAAAGCUCCCACCGGGCUGCAGCAGAGAAGAUAUUAGCAACUACAAGCUUUUUGACGUUCGCCGUGACAUGUGGUUGACAUUUUCAAUUAGAAGAACAAGUAAACAUAUUCCACACACCAUCUUGUCGCUACAUGUUCCAUUCCUUGCAUCUUUAAUUACUGCACCUACUAAUCAUAUAGGAAAAGAAUGAUACAACAAAAUAUGUAUUUAUAUACGUGCAAGGAAUUCGUGUCAUUUCUAACUAUAUAUAUGUCCAGUUUUACAUCUGAACUUUUUGAGUGACUGGCUUCAUGCCUUUUUGCCAGGAGUUGUAUCGUUGUAUCCAAUGCCCUUCCGUUUUGUUGGGAAGAUCAUGUAGACAAAGCUUGAUAGGAAGGCCAUCCCUAGAGGCAGGUUCUUGAGAAGCUCGCUGGUGUUGUUGCUAGCGUUGGGGAAGAAGCACCUCUGGAGGCCAGCGUCGCUGAACGCCACGGUGAGGAACACCACGGCAGCAACGACGGCGUGCACGUAGUCCAGCGGCUGAAGGCGCAGUUUCUGGAGCUCGCCGAGCGCCCACUCCCGCUCCUCCUCCUCGCCCGAGAAGUUGAAGACGUUGAACCCGUGCGGCGUCGCCACGCCGUAGUAGAGCUUGCUGUCUCGGCCGACGACGCUGUCGGUGAAGGAGAAGAGGAGGGAGAAGGCGGCGAGGACGGCGACCAGCGUGGCCGUGAGCCACUUGUUGGCGGGAAGGCACGUCCCAUGGUUGGUGUUGGUGAAGGACGGGGACAGCGCCUGGUACGCCAGCACCGUGCCCGUCGGAAGGAGCUGUGCCAGGUUCGCCGCGCUUGACAUCACCUUGUCCGCCGCUGUCCGGUUGGCUGCCAUGGUUGUAGAGCCGUCAUCCGCACCCUUUGGCAUCGCCGGCGGUACUCUGUCGUCGUUGGUCUGAGAUGUCAUCUGGAUCACGGUGACCGAAGGAGGAAGAGAUGCCAUUAAUGUACUCUUACUACGUAACAUGUGUGCUGGGUCUAGGUGUAGUACUUCUCUGGACUCUGGAAUCUGGAUCGCGCGUGUGGUCUUGUUCAUUCGUGCGGGAGAGUUGAUGUUUAUUAUAGGUGAAUCCUUGUGGAAGUUUGGCGCGUUGAUUUGUCUGCUACUCACAUAUGUUCAAGAAUGAAUGGACAUGCAGGAACUUUCUGCUACUACUGGUCAACCGGCCCUAACUUGAAAUCUGCUUGAAUACGAUAUCUGUGCUAGGCGAGAUCUUUCCUUGGAAUUACCUCAUGACAAUAAAUUUUACAAGAUGUUUUUAAGUAAAUUUAUACAUACACACACAAUUCUUCAAUAUAGCAAUUUUAAUAUUUCGAGUGUCAUGGUUCCCAUCUGAAAUGAUUGCUUAUAACAUUGUAGUCAUUAAUUAAAAGUGUAGCCUGCUAGGGCCUGUAAUGUUUUUAGUAAAAAAAAAAAUUGAACAAAUGUACAAUAAACACUAGAGUUGAACGUAACAUGUGAAUAAAAAGAACAGCAACUACCAAUAAGAUCAAAAGUGGAAAGCUAACAUACACAAGUGCUUAUAUAACUUGUCUUUUAACUAAAUAUGUAUCAUGCUAGAGAAAAAAUCCUAAAUAUUUUGACUAGAUGUCCACAGUGGAGCCUCCAUGUUAAUUGUUAUGGGAUAUGCCAAAAAAAAACAAGAUAAAUUAUAGGAAUUCUCACAAAAAAUCAGAAAAUAUACGACCAUUUAUACUAUGAUUGUACUUUAUUUAAAAGUGCAGCUUAUGACAUGAAAUAUUUAUUUUUCAUAAAAUCCAAAGGAGUUAACAAAGAUACAUUAAGCACAAGGGUGUAAACUUAAAUUAAUGAGAGAAAAAUCCGUAUCAAUUGAUAAGAUCCAAAUUGAAAAUAUCAAAAUCUAGAUUGGUGCCGCCGUUUGUUAUGUCUCCUAAUAAGAUUCUAGCGCAUACAAAAGCACAGGUUAAUGGACUAGUUCUAACAAAACAUAACAGGAUACAAACUAUAUAGAAUCAUUACCGCUUAAUUCAACAUUUCUAACGAACUGAAGUCAGAAAUAGUCAUAAGUACUACUAAUAAGUCAUUAACUCAUUUCCUUUUUGAAAUUGACGUCGUCGCAAUGGCACUACGUGGCUUUCAAUUGCUCGAUUCUAUCAGCUACUAGUAUAAUAUAGCGAUGUGGAAACGAAAGGUAAAAAUAAGGAAGCGUCGUACGUUGUGAACACUUGAAAGCAAGGUUGUGGUGUGGACUUGUGGCUAGCACGAGGCCAGCGGCCCAUCGUCACCUUUGACUGGAUCCUUCCUCGCCGCGCGCCACCGUCUCCGACGUCUUCGGAAAGGCUCCACGGUCGUCGCAGGUCACCAUUGAAGGACGCGUGCGUGUACACCGCCGAGUACUACUACUACUACCGAGUUUUCUUUGGUCCAAGCCUCCUGCACUGAACGGCUGGCCACACCACACGCACCACGCGCACGUACGUUGGUUGACUAGUUAUCAGUUUACUAGUAAGUACUCCCUCACUUGUGGGACAAGAGUGUAUUGCAUUUGAGAUGUGUCUUUGAGAAGCAAAAAAAAAAUAUUUAAAUAAAGUUAUGGAAGAAAAAAAUAAUUAAGUGUUUACCAUAUUUUUUUAUAAAAAAACUUAGAUUAUACUCUUUAAUCAUACGGAUAGGAUUAGAUUUUAAUAAAUUAGAAAGUUAUAAGUAAAAAGGUACAUGUGUCUAUUGUUCUCUCUCUUAUUUUAUCUUAACAUACUGUAUUGCAUUGCAGGAUGGAGGUCUUGCUUGACUGAUAAGGCAUGGUUGAAAGUACUGUUCGUUGACUUUUUGUAAAAGAAAAAUAUUGCUGAAUGACCGACAAUUUUACUACAGUUGGACCGAUCGAGAAAGGUUGAGUUGACUGAAUCCAUCGAUGCCGACGUUGGGCAUUGGAUUGGGAGAACCUGCACGGAAACAACGAAGCUCCUCCAAGGUCCGAUUUUUUUCCCUCCAAUUUCGCUGCAUUGUUUCAUCUGAAAGUCACGGUUUUUCAGCUUUUUCGAUGUUGCGAUUGGUUGCACGCACUGAUCGCUACCUGUUUUGUCGUCAGCUACCUGGGAUAUAUAUGACGAUCGGUAUGUGCAAUUGUGCAUCUGUGCGGCUGCUCAAUACUCCAUGCCAAACGAUUUGACGUCAGUUUUUGAGUAACGGAGAAUCCUUUCAUGUUAAAAAAUAAAUUUCCAUUUCAAACUAUUGUUUAUUUCUUUAUUAUUUAUUACUGCAUAUGAUCUCGCAGCAUGACGUGCGCUGAAAUAAAAAGGCUUGUCACACGUGUAGACACUGGUCUCACUGUAACGUGCAUGAGCACACAAACAUUGUAUAUAAAAUUAAAUGGAUCACAAAUCAAAAGUAACCACAACAAUCACGUCUCUGGUGUGCAACAUCUCCCAUGUAGAGUGUGUCAGUCAGAAGUAGUGCUCCAACACGCCUCACAGCGGCAACAAAAACGCCCGAAUGGGACGACCAUCUUUGGAAACAUUGUUACAACAAUCGAAAUAUUGUUAAGCGCAUUGCAUGUUGGUAAUGCAAGGAUGCAACGUCGUCAUGAAUCAUGAUGUUGCACCAAGGGUUUAUUGCUUUGGAAGAAUUUAUUAUCCUUUAGCCAAAGAAAAGCACAAAUCCACCAAAGUGAGUACGUACAAUCCACUGAUACCACUUCAACCAUAUUUCUCAACAUCCAUUUCUUAAUGUGCUUGGAUGCCAUACAUUUCUUAAAGUUCUUGGAUGUGUCUUGGUGACAUUCGGUUGUUUUGGUCCCUCCUAACAACCGAAUUUUGUGCAUGUAUUUAUAUUGUCUUUUAACUAUUUUUACACUGUCUAAUGAUUUCUUCAAUGUAAUUUAUUAGAAAAUGAUGUAAUUUGAGGAUAACAAAACUUCAAUGUUCAAAAAAAUUUCAAUUUAUUUGUAUAAAUCACAGAUAUAAAAAUAUAUAUAUCAAAUUAUUCACAAAAUUUAUAAAUUAUUUCUAUGAAUUACACAAUAAAAAUAUAUGUCAAAUUGUUCACAAAUGUUAAAUACCAUAUACAACCCCCACUAGCUAGUCCCUACAUGUCCCUGUGUCUUUUCUCGACCAGAUUAAAUAGCGAACGUCCAUUGAAAUGGAUCCUGGCGAUCAAAUUUCUGACAUACUUUUAUUUCCGUUUUUAGAAAAAAAAACUAAUUCCACUUUUACCUAUUUUGAACGGCGCGGGCGUGCUUCAUUAUCUUUUGGGUUCUCCGUUCCACACACCCUCAUCCCCCGUAGGCUGAUGUCAGCGCUGACGCAUGCAGAGAAAAAGAAAAUAUUUAUUUUAAAUUACUAUAACUUUUGAAUGGUAAAUUUAUUUUUAAUUUUGUCUGCACCAGUGUGUUCUACACGAUAAGAUGAAUAAAACUAGAUCCCACUUGUAUGUAUUUGAAAGAUUUUUUCUAGUAAUAAUUUAUGCGUACUAACUUAUAAUAUAUAACUUAUGUGAAAAACAUAAACUCAAGAGUUAUCAAAACACAACUUAUUUACGAAGAGUUAUUAAACAUAAAUGAACGAUCCCGUCGUGUUCUACGCGACGAGACGAACAAAAAUAGAUCCUAAUUGCAUUUAUUUUCAAAAAAAUAUUUUAGUAGCAAUUUAUGUGUACUAACUUAUAACACAUAAGUUGAGUACAAAAGUUAUAUGAAAUAAGACAAGUUAUAUAGAACUACCUAUGUACAGAAGUUAUUAAACACAAAAGAAUAAAUUAAACUUAUAGCUUAUGCCAGUGCAAACAUAAAAAGUUAUUAACGCACAAGGGAAAGAGUUAACUUAUAACUUAUACUACAAUUUAGAAACACAAAAGUUAUAAAACACAAUUUAUGUACAUAAUUUUUUCGUAUAACUUGUGCAACUAAGUUAUAGUUAUAACUUAUAUGUUAUAACUUAUAUGUUAUAAGUACUUAGUACAGAUAAAUUAUACUAAAAUAAAGUUUUUCAAAACAUAUAUAAGUGGGAUCUAGUUUUGUUUGUCUCGUCGCGUAGAAAACACCGGUGCAGACAGAAUUGAAAAUGGAUAAACCGUUUAAAAGUUAUAGCAAAUUUAAAUAAAUGUUUCGCUUUUUAAAAGUGGCGUCAGCACGAAAUCAGCGGAUGCCCCUACACUAUGUCAGAGUUAAAUCGUUUCGUUGAGUUCAUUUUAAAUGAACGACCGCUGUAGUGGAAUUAGGCUUUUGGAGCCCGAAUUGUCUACGCCUGGUGCCACCACUAUCGUUUCACAGAGAAUCAUGUUGGUGCAUGUCACAGCCCGUGAGGGAUCGUGGCAUCGUGCCUGUGCAGGUGCCAAAUCCAACGACCUAGAAUUCAGUUGCCGCAUGAAACCAAAACAACCGGUUGAUAAAUAGCAAUUCUGUUCUUAAAUGAUGCAGUAUUUUCCAAACAUGUAUAUAUUUAUAAAUGAACGAAAACUUACACAUAUCAAACUAACAUGUACCUAUAUAUUACCUACAUAUACAAGUAUAUAUAAAACCUAAUUAAGUUUCCCUGCAAAAGAAUAAGCGCAAAAUCUAUAAUUCUGAAAGGAACAAACUAAUAAACCAAUAUAUAUAUACGGGCCGGUAAUAUAAUGUACAAAACUGUAUCACACAUUCUAAAUUUUGAAUUGUAUUCGAACCAUCUGUAUCCUAAUUAAGACGUACGAACCAUAUGAGAACUUUUGAAACACCGGCCCCUCAUUCUCAUGUUGCUGUUGCCUUUUGGUGCGGAGUGGUGUCGUUGUAUCCGAUGCCCUUCCUUGUGGUCGGGAAGAUCAAGAACACGAAGCUCGACAGGAACGCCGUCCCGAGCGGGAGAUUCUUGAGAAGCUCGUUGGUAUUUUCACCAGCGCCAGGGAAGAAGCACUUCUGCAGCCCGACGUCGCUGAACGCGACGGUGACGAACACGACGGCGGCGAAGAAGGCGUGCACGUAGUCGAGCGGGCGGAGCCGGAGCCGCCGGAGCUGGCCGAGCGCCCACUCCCGCUCCUCCUCCUCGCCGGAGAAGUUGAACACGUUGAACCCGCGCGGCGUCGCCACGCCGUAGUAGAGCUUGCCGUCGCGGCCCACGACGCUGUCCGUGAAGGAGAAGAAGAGGGAGAAGCCCGCCAGGACGCCCACCAGGACCGCCGUCAGCCACUGGUUGGCCGCCGUGCAGGCGCCGUGGUUGGUGAAGGACGGCGACAGCGCCUGGUACGCGAGCACCGUGCCAGUCGGCAGCAGCUGCGCUAGGUUGGACGCGCUUGCCAUCACCUUGUCUGCUGUUGUCCCGGUGCCUGCUGCUGCUGCCAUCACCGGCAUGAUCGUCGUUGUUGGUGAUGAGUCGUCGUCGGCUCCGCCACCCAGCUUGGGCGUCGGCGGUGCUGCUACUAUGCCGUUGUUGUUGGUCUGCGGCGAAGACAUCUGGAUCACGGUAGACGGCUGAGGAGAAGAUGCCAUCGUUGGUCUGUUUGGGGUUUCUCAACGUGAUGAGUAGAGUCCAUUCUCGUACGGUCGAGUAGCUGCUUAUAUAGGACAUUAUCAUCGUGGAAUAAUUCCAAGGUUAGCCAGCGCGUUGAUUUGUCUACUUGAAUUGAAAGGUCUUGUUUUGUUGUGAAGAAGAAGGGCUAUAGUUGCAUGGACUUCAACUGCGCCCAAGCACGGUCAUACUCAUGCUCAUUCAUCAUCCCUUGAUAGUCACGAUAUUUUCCAACAACCAUGCAUCCUACAUGGAAUUCUCUCCAGAUUUUUUUUAUUUUUGACUUGCAGUCUACAGUGGCUUGCAAAAUGACGUUUUAUAUAUCAUGCUACGAAUGCCUUAUAUAUUAUAGGAACGUGAGGAAGAGGGAGAGAGACCUGCAAGAAGAGGAUAAUCUCCAAUUUCAACUUGUCAAUUUUAUUUCUCAUGAAAAUAGCAUAUGACCAAACGAUCAAAGUACUCCAAGACUACACCUUUGUCAUAUAUAUUUCAUAUAUCACAUUUGAUAGAUCGAGACUAGACAAUCACGUACUACUGCCGAUCGAGGUUGAUGCAUGCGAUUCUGGAAGUUAAAUGAUAACAUGAACAAUAACCUAACUAUAUUCGUUUAUUUCAGUGUAUACAAUUUGAGUAAUUGUAUGUAGAUGAAAAUCUAUCAAGUUUGACUUUACUAAAUCCCAAUAAAUCCUAUACUUUGAAACAAAUAAAACGCGUGGUAAUAUAAGACGACACACGUGAUUUAUUUAAUAGUCAAGUCUACAGUGCGAGUCAUCAAGGCAAACAUCCACUAUUAGCUGUUCGCACGGCAAGGACGAAUGGACGACGAUAUGUCCCCGGCCGUUUUGUACGCAUGGGAAAAGAAAUGGCAGCUAGCGAGACACUCCAGCACGGUAAGCAACGACCAGCACGAGCGCGCGGCUGGCCCCAAGAAACGGUCGCCGGUGGAGGAUGUGCCAAUGGCCGACGUGGCCGGAUGAUUUACAAGGCCACCUGCAGACAUCUGCGGGUGCUCUAAGCAAGUUAAUUAGCGAGCGGACCUCAAGCCGUUCAAAGUGUGUAGUGCAAAGGACGCAGCUACAGCGAGUGGACCGCCGUUCCGUUGCUAGUUGGUUGGACCUAGAAAAUCUCUCAAACCAACAUGGAGAGAAAGCUACCGUUUGUCCACAUCCAGUGAGUCCCACGUCUCAUGCACCUUUCCGGGCCCGACGACUUCUCAGCAUUGGUACGGUCGAUAUCCAUCCGUCACAACAACAUGUAUGGCGAUACAAUCGCAUCCAUUGGACAUGAACAUUUGUGGAGAGAUGAAGACACGCGCGUGGAAUUAAUUCAUGUGACGAGGCAUAAAAGGUUUCCUCCUAUUAGUAAUUCUACUUAUUUUUGAGGCAAAUUAAUAGAAUACCAUGGAAUGGUAGCAGCCAAGUUCUGUUUAUUUGGGCUGAAGUUUGAAGGUUUUGCCUGCCGCGGGGGGGGAUGCUCACUAUGGUUAUGUGGAGGCAGGCCAUGAUGAUUUCACUUUCGAUGUUGGGGAAGUGAGGGAGUGGACACGAGCGAACUAAGAGCAUAUGUACCAGUUCCCCAAUAUAUACCACCUAUCAUUUUUAUAAAACAACUAUCAUAUUGGGGGAGAUGAUGUUUUAUUUUUCUAGAAUACACAAAAGAUUUGCGCAUCCUUGUAUUAAGGAGAGAAGUUCAAACAAACAUACGACAAGCUUCUAUCAAGCGCCAUAGGAGGUCGACGUAACAUAGCCAAAGCUAGACCAUCCUAGCAAAAGACCUCAUGUUUAGGAAAAGCCUGUGUUUUCACAGCUGCCUAGAUAGUGACUUUCCAAUGGCUAGGAAGAGCUCAUCCAAUACCUCGGAUUCGGUCAUAGUCAUGCUGCCGUAGAAGAGCCUAUCAAAAGUCUCCAACUCCAAAACAGAUAGUGCAGAUGGACCCUCGAUUCACAUGAAUAGAAGGUGAGCUUGAGAAUACCAACUAUAGAUUUCCAAACGGGCGGCCCGACCCUAACCUGGCCCAGGCACUAUUUGGCCCGGCCCUAUCGUGUCGUGCCUUGUUGGGCCGUCGUGCCAGCCGUGCCGUGCCGAAUAGGGCUAUCGUGCCCAACCCUUGGCCCAGGCACGACCCUAUGGAGACUUGAUCGUGCCGUGCCGUGCCGAAGGCCCAUCGGGCCUCCCAGGCCCGUCGUGCCGCCACUGCUCGUAGACGCUGAUGGAGGCGCGUCGUCGCUACUCGUCGAGGACGCGCCACCGCCUUAGCCAUGGACCCGCAUCGCGCGCGCCUACACGAGGAUGUGCAGCCGCCUCAGCCGCGCCUCAUCGUCUCCACGCCGCCGAGCCACUCCUCGCGUCGUCAUCGUCGCUGCAGCAGUGCUGCAGCUGUUGCUUGCGCGCGCCGCCACCGUGGCUUCGCCUUGAGAAGAAGAUGAGUGGGGGAGGAGAGUGGCCUUGGAUUUGAGCCUCUGAGAGGCUUCUGCGAAAUGCGUCGGCACUCGUGAAGUCGGCAUCAGGAGUUCGGGACGGGAGGAACAGGGAGAAAAAAGAACGACGGCUAGGUGAAAAGAAUGAGAGAAAGUGGCUUUUAUACCUAGGUUAGAGAAGUUCUAAGUCAAUCCAACGGCUAGAAAUAGUAGAAAUCAAUUUAACGAAUAAAAAUAAUCGGGCCACUAUCGUGCCGGCCUAUUAAUCGUGUCGUGCCCGUGCCGUGCUGUCGGGCCAGACCUUCGGCCCAGGCACGGCACUACGUCGUGCCCGUGCCGGCACUGGCACUAUGAGCUUCGUGCCCGUGCCGUGUUAGUGUCGUGCUUUUUCGGACCGUGCCCGUGCCGGCCCAUCGUGCCUGGCCCAUUUGGAAAUCUAUAAUACCAACAUGAUAUCGUGAACCGAUGGACGACAAAAUUAGUCUCGUCUGCAUGCGGCGAGGAUGAGUGAUGACGUUGCCUGUGUGGCAGACUGGUGGUCCUUGUAAUUUAAGGACUAGCUUGUUCGUUUGAGCUUAUGAGCCAAAUCUGACAGCCAUUCAACAAUAUUUUUCUCUCACAGCAAAUCAGCCAAUAGUACUUUCUGCUAUAACUUAUCAGCCAAACGAAGAGGUGUGGACCUACUCACAUAGUUACAUGAGCUCUGUUUGAGAGUGGCUUGUGGCGACGCCAUGACAGCGAGCACACAUCAUACCGUUGCCGAACCUCAUGGAGUCAUGAAAACAGAAGUAACAAGAACCGAUGAUCGGCUACACUAUCCUAUGGCGGUAUGAACAAGGCGUUGGCAGAGGUAGUGGCACGCUGCUAGUGGUAGAAUUAGUCUAUUCCACUAGCACUUGGCAGGAAUCACGGUACUUGUUGACCUGUCGGUGGACCAAGCCACGCCGUUGUUGUGACUCGGGCUAGUAGUUUGUCUUAGUGCCUACUAUCCUAAAAUGAGAGCCUCUGGCAGAUAGAGAACUCAUCUUGCAUAGGUUUCAAUGGUUGUUGUAGCUACUCGAUGUAGCCCACUAUAAGUAGUGGGAGCUCAUACGGACCUUGAGCUUUUGGUGAGCUUUACACACGUCGGGGUCCUUAGAGGUUGGAAUGUUGCGUAGAAGAAGAGCAGCAGCAACAACUACUACUAAAAACUAGCUUGUGUGGGGCCAAAGACAUGCAUAUCUUUGCAGCGUUAGCAAUGUCAUUGUGGACCUAGUGAUCGUAUGGUUAGCACCACAGCAAGGACCAAGUAGGCACUCUAGCUUUGUCUAUUCGUGUGCAAGCCGCAUUCCAGCCGACCUCUAGGUUGAUUUGUUCAUCCUUGAGGCAGUCAGCCUUCUCACAAAGGUAGGCCUCUUGAGGCUCAAAGGUUCUAUGGAUUUGUGAAGUGUUUUGGCUCCUCUGCCCUAUUACUGCCACUCUCUUUCACAAGGUAUACCAUGUUGAACUCAUGGGAGGGGUGGUAGUUCCCUAUGCCCUCAACCUUGGAAGUAGAGUUGUUGCCGAAGGAUUCCUCCAAGAGGUCGUGGAUGAACGUCGGUACAUUUUUUUAGAUAAAGGAAAUUGAUAUUUCCAGCUUUAGUCAUCCUCACACGAGGAUUACAUCCGGCCAAAUUAUUACAUUAGAUGUACAGUGAAAUAGGUAAGGCCUACGUCACCUGAGUACACUGGAUCAACUGAAACAAAACUGACAAAAAAAAUUACAUCUCCAAUAAGGAACUAUGACUUGCACUGAUAAGACCACCAAGUCAUUAAUCGACAUCAAGACACGUCUAGCAGACCUAAAGGAUACUAAAAGAACGUAGGACGCCGACCGCCAUUGGGGAUUCCGGAUACUGUAAGCUGGCAACGGAACAAAGCUCCUGGUGCACCUGCAAGGGACAUACCAAUACCAGUUUGGAACCAAAGCAUGUGAUCAUCCAAAAGUGACGUCUCCAACGAGCAUAUGACAUCCAAAGAUGCCAUCAUGACCCACCAGAAACACCGGUGUUGGGUUUUCACCCGAGAGUGACGCCUCCAGCGAGGAAAGUGGCACACACAGGCGUCACCGCCAUCUAAACAUGGUAGCACUGCCACUACCUCCACGAGCCAUUCUGUUACGCCAAACACCAGCGACAUAAGCAUCACUAGAUCAAUCCAUCAAAUCCGGAGAGCUGAGUUCCACCAACUAGACGCCCAUUGCAGACGACGAAGCCAUCUCCAAUGUGGACGCCUUCUCCUGCCCUUGACCGCCGCCGAAGCUGCCUAGGCCGCUUGCCGCCGACGCGACGAUAAAGUCAUGUGGGAGGGCAGGUAACACCCCCCUCUAGCCUGCACGAACCACCGCCGCCAUUGUUGCAACCGCAAUUAGCAGCCACCGGCAUUGGCUGCCACCAACUCCGGCAGCCUAGGCACAGUGACGUUGGAUCAGCGACCACGUCGUUCACCGCCGCCGCCGCACCCAGAUCCGCCCAUCACUGCCACUGCACCCACAACCGUCCAUGAUGACGGUGGAUCGGCGACCAAGUCGCUCACCGCCGCCGCCGCAUCUAGAUCCGCCCAUCGCCGCCGUCACACCAACAUCCGUCCACGACGACGGUGGAUCGGCGACCAAGUCGCUCACCGCCGCCGCCGCACGCGGAUCCUCCCAACCUCCUGCGCUCCACCCAUCGCCGCGUCCGCCCCACCUCCAAGCCAUGGCCAGGCGCCACACUGCUGCGCCUUCGCGAGCUCUUGGCCGGUGCCGCCGCAAACACGAGCGGCACCCUCGUCGUGCCCCGUGCAGCACCGGCGAGGCACCCCCCGAAUCACGACUAACCAGCGCCGCCACUCCACCAGACAGGGCCCCGCCGCCACCAUCAUGGCCGGCUUCCGGCUCCGGCGGCGGCGAAGCGGAGGGGGCGGGGAGGGGAAGUGGCGGCGCGUUAGGGUUUGGGGAAAGACCUAGCUUAUAUUAUGUCGUCCCGACAAACAUAGAGUUAUAUUUAGGUGAUCUAAUUCCUCUCACUUGAAGAUAAUAGAGUAGGAUGUUAAGUCAGGGGCUGAUCUAUAUAGUGACUUGUGGGUUAUGGCUAAAUCUUCAGUAUAUUCAUACCUUCAAGAUAAAAAUAUACAUACUCAGAAGACAAGUGCAUCCAUCUUGAAUUUUGUUCUAGUUGCUCUGCCUUUGUGUUAAGUUCCAUUAUUAUUAUCUUGACAAGAAAAUCUUAGGUUCUAAUAAAACGAUUUUAAGCAUGAACAUAUCGUGACUUGACCAAGCCAGAAUCACGGUUGUUUUCAAAUCAAACAAUAAUAAUGCUUGAAACUCUCACACAAUAACAUACCCUUUUUACUAUUAUUGUUCCAACAAACUAUCACACCAGCAAGAGUGCAAGACUAUAUAUAUAAUAUGAUUCACAUAAACCGAUGAUUCUAUCCACCUCCACCGUACCAGCACACACCUAGAAGCUAGUAGCCCAUCAAGAAUAGCUGCACUCGAUCUUGCGGCCUUUCUUGUUGGCGCAGUAGUCGGAGAUCAUGUACUUCCUCUUGACGCCCUCGUAGGCCGCCCGCUGCUGCGGGGUGAGGUCCCGGUAGCCGCCGCCGUUCCACCACAGGGCCGGCGAGUCGCACGGCGUCGCGCUGCCCGUGGCGCAGCCGUCGACGUCGAAUCCCUGGUACCCAGCCGUGAACGGUGCCUUGGACCAGUCCACCUUGGUUCGCCCGCCGUCCGUGGCCCAGGAGGAGCCGUCCCAGAUGCUCGCGCGGAUCAGCAUCGGCUUCGUUGGGAACUCGUACCCCGGCACGGUGCUCCUCAGGUUGCGCACCACCCGGAUCGGCGUCUCGUCCACGAACAUCCUGUGUGUGUGGAUUGCAUCGCAUUGCAUUGUUGACAUACACGCUAAUAAUACAAUGUGCCUAUAGCUAGCUUCUACGUACGUACGCCGAGACAGCCAUGGUUGUUUAUACGUACACGAGCUGGUAGGGGUUCCAGAGGAUCUUGUAGUCAUGGAAGUCGGCGGAAGGGUCGAACCAGAGGUGAAGCCGCUGCUCCCUCUGGCCGUGGCCGUUGACGAAGAAGUUGGUUUGGAGGGUGAUGGGCACGCCGGCCUUGUCGCCCAGGAACUCGAAGUCCACCUCGUCACGGGUGCCGUCUUCCGGCUCCGAAAUAAGCUACGACGACAAGAAGCACACGAUCGAUCUUCAUCGUUAUUAAUUUUAUUAGUGUGUGGUGGUGAUAAAAUGAAAUGAACAACAAGUUUAGUUAGUUUUGAUCCUCUCACGUAGAAGGUUGUGACGACGCCGGCCGUGUAGCCGGACGGCAGCUUCAUCCUCAAGUGGAAGAACCCUGACCCGUACGUGACCUUGGACUUGAACCCACCACCACGAGCCGCUGCACGAUCGAUCACGUACGGCAAUGUUAUAGCAACGUAACGUAACCAUGCAUGCAUGCAGGUACAUUACAUAUAUGCGUACCGGUGCUCUGAUCCAAGAUGAGAUCAACCUCAGUCCCGUGAUCGACCAGGCGCCCCCAGUCCUUCACAUAGUUGACGUCGAGCGGCAGCGCCGGCGCUGCCCCUGCUGCCGGCCACAAGCUAGCACCCCCGGCUAGGAGGACGACGACGAGGAGGAGAAGCCAUGCGCGCACCUCGGAAGCCAUCGCAAGAGCAGGCCCGGCCCAAUGCAAUAGAGACCGUACCUAUGCUAAUUGCUACCUCUUCUAACUUCUUUCUCUCGCACACCCCAAGCCCUGUUGCGAAGGUUCACCUCAGUCUCGCCGUUUUAUAGCUGCUAGGAUAUAUUAAUGCUAUAGGGUGAAAUUCAUGAUGCAUUAGUUACCAUUAGUGAGAUGUUUUAAGCUGGACUAAUGGUUGAUCAAUGGGUUACACGAAACGGACAAUUGAUUUGUCUAUUACGCACACACACACCAAGAGCAAAAUUUAGUUUUUACCCACUUUAUAAGAAGGUUGUUGCAUAUGGCAUACUUCAUCAGUCCCAAAUUAUAAGAUGGUUUGAAAUUUCUAGAUUCAUAGUACGUAUUUGCUUUGUAUUUAGACAUAAUAUAUAUCUACGUGCAUAGCAAAAGCUAUGAAUCUAGAAAAGUCAAAAUGUCUUAUAAUUUGGAAUAGAGGGAAUAGCGACAAUUAAAUGAUCUUUUUUCUAUGCAUAAGCACCUCCUCUAAUAAACCAUGCUCUAAUCAUAUUAUUCUCCAAGCACCCAUAUACCUGCCAGCGUCAAAAAAGCAUUCUAUUUCUAUCACAAAGUGAUAAUACUUGAGUUGUAUUCCCUUUGAUCAUGAAUAAGUGAUGUUUUAGGGUUAUAUAAAGUCAACUAUUAGGCUAGUUCCAUACUUCCAUAUUGUAUAUCAUAACCAUCUAUCGUUUAUCACAGCAUCAUGUAUGGUGAUAAAGCUUGGCACGAAAACUAACUUUUGAAAACCGCGCAUACAUAUAUUCUAGGGCUGUUGUCAUAGAAACAACUUAUACAAGAAUUAACUGAACUGUGAUUCAUAAGAAACAACACCAUGGUACUAUGAAUAGCAAGAGUUUUAUGAAUUGUGUUAAGAGUAUAUACAAAGCAUGCAUGCACGUCAUAUUAAGUUAUUUAUGCCUAGCAGACCCAUGCUUAAAUGGGCUUCGCCCGUUUGGCCAUCAUAGUCAAAGCACUAAGGUCUAGAACAUUGAGCAGGGAUAUGCUAUUCUUUAUCUAAUUUAAAUUGUGCUAUUUUAAAAAGAAAAAACCUAUAUGGUCACCAAAACACUUUUUUUGAAAGGUAAGACAAAGUCCGCAUAAAUUAAUAAGAUGAAGAGUUUUUGUGCUAGAGGCACAGCUGCAUCAAACCCAAAUUAGCAUACUGCUAUUGGGGUGGGGGGGGGGGUUAUAAAAAAUAAAGUAGCCAAAUACUAAGACUGUCAACUAACAACUAUAAAGGAUCUGCUCUUACUCGGCUCUGAUGCUUCGUCUUAGAACAAUUACGACCCAGAAGAAACAACUCCAAAGCCUACAUCAAAAACUAAACAGAACUCAAGACCUAAAUUAAAUGACUAAAAGCUAAUCUACUGUGUGCCGACAGAAAACUAACCAAAGAACACAUAUGGCUGCAACUAGAAACUCAUCGGAAACCUAAGCUUCAUCCUUAGUGACACAAGGCCUCAAUAGUAGUCUUAGAGUACUUCUCAUUGUUGUUGAGGCGGACUAUUGAAUGGAUUGUUGUGAUAGCCUCGACCGACAACGGUUCCUUACAAGAAACUAAGAAUAUUGCGGUCACGCUUCACCCACAAAUUCUUUAGGAUUGAUGAAGCUCAACUCGCGGGUCAAAUGGUGCUAAGGGAUUGGUAGCAAGGCAGCUACUAUAAUGUUGUGCCUUCACUAGCUUGGUGAAAUCAUUGGAGCUUAUUGCCUACAAACUUUUUUUGUUGGUUGCAAACUUUUGCUUACCUUAGAGGAGGACAACUUGAUCAAUAUUGGUGGAUGUGUUGUCAUGGGUAGCCAAAGGUGUAGCAUCAUUGGGAAGAGCAUGUAGGAUCCUCAUCAAAGAGAGGAGGACAUUUGCAUGGAGGAUCAAGCCAUAGAGUAGAACUCAUUAACCAUGGGGUCCAAUCUAGGAAGGCAAGGGUUAGUAGGAAGCACCUCAUCUUACUAUACCUUGUAGAAAUCAAGUAAUAUAGAUCCAGCUAGUGGUGUGGUAGAGAAGGCUCGUCAAGUUUCAUUUGCUCUUCACCCAAGGUACGUGCAGCAAGCCAGCCCUUUCUACGGACCUUGUAGACCAUGCCAUGCUAGUCCAUCUCCUAGGUAGCCACAGACAACAUCAUGCUAAUCGUCAACAGUGAGUGAGAGCAGUGGACUCCAAUGCAACAUGUUGCGGGGAGACUCGACUGUUAAGAAUGUGGAGGAGAACCAUGGUGGGGGCAGCCACUACCGCAACAAAGCCAAGUGUUGGCCCAUUCAAUGUGUGACCUCAAGGCGUAGGUCAUGAUUACUGUUGGAUGGGAGGGCACGUUGGUAGCAGGGGAGAAGGUAGCUCAGGGAAAGACAUAUGGUUGUGGAUGCUCGGAAGUGGCGGUGGCAUCAAUGCUAUCGGGAAGAGGAGAUAAUUGUGGAGUCUGUGGGUUGCAAUGGAAAUUGCAUGUCUUUAGAUGAACAAGAGCUUGCUUUGUGAUGGCCAAAGAAGAAACAUAAGAUGCACUUCCAGGUGUCAUGAAACUACACAAUUUGAUGGUCUGUGGCUAAGCAUAUGAAGCAACGACAUUGGAAAAGGCUGUGCACCAGGCAGUGGGUUUUUGAGCUUUUGUACCUGCAUUGGAGAUUCAUUUGUGUUGGGUUCGUCGGCUACAUCUUAUACCACUAAAUCCUCUUCCAAACCUCCUACCACAUUGGGGGAGGGAUUGGUUGUUGUGGAUCAAUCACAAUAGACUUGAGGCGCAGAGUGGUGGUAGGCUGCACACUGACACCAAAGCUUGCCAUCUUUGGCAGCUGCCAUCCUAUUGCAGAUGACCUCAUCGUCCUAGCAUGGCACUCCAUGUAGGCCAUGAACAGCCAUGAUAGAGGAGGUAUCGCUGAUGUUGGGGGCUUGAAUCUCCAUAUGGUGGUAACAGGGGCUACACCGCUCCAUCCCCCCUAGAGGUUGUUUUGGUUGUGUUUCUUUAUCUACGCUCAAUUGAGCCACUAGCACAAGUAGCUAGCCGAACACGUUGUCCUUGUCAUUGCUAGAUCCCAAAUAAUCUAUCUUCUCCAAGUUCUCAGCAUGAACAUCAAUGGGGGAAGGCUUGGGAGUGGGUGCGACUAUGAUAGUUCGCUAGCCAUCACAAAUGGGGAGGUCGACGAUGAGGUGGCAUGAGGAGUAGUAGGACACUCAUGCCCUCGCAUCCGUUCCCGCUCAUCUCGCUACCAAGGAAGACGCUUGGAUCCGGCAUCAUGGGUGGCUGCGCUGUCGUGACCUAGAGUGACAGCCAAGGCCAGGGAGCAAGGAGAACCCCCACGGUAAUAAGACCGGUGGAGGAACCAACUACCAGGCUGGGACACUCCAGUUGUAAUCGAUAUAUAGGAGGUCUAGGCAGCGGGUCAAGCUAGUUGAACCACUUUUUCUAUCUAAUAAUGACAUAAUAUUCAGUCCUAGAUAUUCAAGAGAAAAUGAGGAAAAGAGGGGGGGGGGUAGGGAGGGAGAAGGCAAGGGGAUUGUGCAAAAAACGCAUGUCACGCUAGCAUGCCACAUCCGUGAGGAUGAGCUGCUGAAGUAGUAUGAACAUAAGCUGCACGAAGACUUAUCUUUUGUGUGUGUGUAUAUAUAUAAUAUAAAUCGUGGAUUUAGUUUGACAUACAACGCCACUCGUAGCGCUUAUCAAGCGUAGUUGCACUCGAUGGGUACGGUGUUAUUGAACCUGGCCUUAUCGGCGCAGUAGUCGUAGUUGAAGUAAUUCCUCUUCACGUCCUCGUACGCCGCCCGCUGCUCCGCGGUGAUGUUCCGGUACUCGCCGCCGUUCCACCAGAGGUCCGGCGACUGGCACGGCGCCGUCGUCGCGCUCCCGUUGGCGCAGCCGCUGACGUCGAACCCCUGGUAGCCGGCGGUGAAGGGCCCCUGGGACCAGUCCACCUUGGUCCGUCCGCCGUCCGUCGCCCAGUCGGAGCCGUCCCACAUGCUCGCGCGGAUCAUCAUCGUCUUCUUCGCCGGGAACGGGUACCCCGGCACGGUGCCCGUCAGGUUCCUCAGCACCCGGACCGGCGUGUCGUCCACGAACAUCCUGCAGCGAAUUGCACCAACAAUUACGACUUAGCUUGCUGGGGUGGCAGAGACUGGCAGCUAGCGGCACCAUUUGGAACGCUAGCUAGGAUUAUUUGUGUUUCUUACGUACACGAGCUGGUAUGGGUUCCAGAGGAUCUUGUAGUCGUGGAAGUCGGCGGCGGGGUCGAACCAGAGGUGCAGCCGCUGCUCCCUGUCGCCGCGGCCAUUGACGAAGACGUUGGUCUGGAGGGUUAUCGGCACGCCGGCCUUGUCGCCCAGGAACUCGAAGUCCACCUCAUCACGGCUUCCAUCUUCCGGCUGCGAGAUAAGCUGGAAGAGAAGAUUAUUCACAAUUAAUCUGUGAUCAUCAGGAUCGAGCUAGCCUCCGAGAGAGAGAGAGGAGAUGCAUGCUUAGUGAGUGAUCAUCGAGCAAGCAGUACGCAUAUAUAUAUAUAUAUAUAUAUAUAUAUAUAUAUAUAUAUAUAUAUAUAUAUAUAUAUAUAUAAAACUUUCCCAUAUAUACACACACACUCACAUAGAAUGUUGUGACGACGCCGGCCGUGUAGCCGGAGGGCAGCUUCAUCCUCAUGUGGAAGAACCCUGAGCCGUACAUGGACUUGGACCGGAACCCGGCACCUGCGGCAAGCACACACGCGGCGCCGCCAUCACUCACAACACAAUUCUUAUCGCAGCAAGAACACGCAAACGUCUUCACGUACGUUGCACACACGUACGUACCAGAGCUCUGAUCCAUGGUGAUAUUAGCCUCCGUGCCCCGGAUGACAAGGUGAUAACCAUCUUCACCCCACUGCACCACGUAGUUCUCAUCGAACGCCGCCUCCGCCGCCGAGCCAGCGACGACUGCCGCCGCCAGGCAAAUGACGAGGACGGCAUCCCACGCGCACGCCUUGGAAGCCAUUGCAAAUAAAGCCGGCCAAGAGCCCAAGACCGAUCGCGACGACGACGACGAGAGGCGGCGCACCUCUCGAUCACCUGUCACGCCCUUUUAUAGCUGAUGAGACAUGAGAGGGGGAAGCUCUUGCAGUUGCACUAGCUACGUAUGCCGGAAACAAUUGUCAAGUGUGCUUUGUGCACACGCAUGGACUACCUCUCCCCUGUGCCGGCCUGCUGCAGUGCACAUCCCGUCUUCGCUGGCUCACCCACGCAAGCCUGAUUAUUUCGGCCAUGGAUCGUCCACGCACUCGCACAAGUUUUUUUUUUUGGGUGACUUUGCACUUGCGCAAGUUGUGCAUCAACUGCAUGUGUGUGUAGGCGGGGGCGUCGUUGUGGUGUGUACGUACGUGAUGCCGUUUUCCAUUAUGGGCGGCGUUGCUUGAUUAUCACAAACACUUCGUCUCUGCGUGGCUCUUAAAUUCGCUCGCGCCAACACAUAUCCAAGAUAUGCAUGGAUUUCGCACCUAUCAUCAGCCUGCACUUUUUAGGUAUGCGAGCAGAGUAGUAGUACUGAUCUGCCAGUACACGGCAGUCGGAGUCAACCAAAUUAUUGUGCUCGUGAUUGAUUCGCAGCCGUGACAGGCUGACAGCAACAUGAACGUAUACGCCCGCUAAUGGCUUCAACCACAGAUUGAUGUAGCUGACGUAAAUAGUUUUGGUGACCAAACCAGCCAACGCUUAUCACGCAUGUCGUCUUCCCAUCAAAUGACCUCAGUCAACCGCAGUCCGCAUGGGUGGUCUUGGAGACGAGCGAAAUCUUUGUGUGACAUUCACAGCAGCCUAUAGGUCUGAGGUUACCAACAUCAUCCAAUAUUAAUAAACCACCACACUGAACUAGUGAAGUCGUCGACAGAAAGAAGACGCCGCCGUGAUAUGUUUAAAACAACCCAGACCAGCCAAGAGAAGGUUUUGCCAAAAACUCAGGCCAGCGACCCGAAACGGCAAAAAGACACGACAGUGCAAUGUCAGCUGUCCUGUAUGCACGUGAUGCUCAUCAUAUCCAUUCCAUUUUCAACCAGUAUGAAUGGUUCAAGACAAGACUGAUGUCUCCAGCAAAAUUUGCAUAUAGACACUUGAAUGGCUAACCUAAAGAGUAAAGAGUUGACUAAUUCACCAAAAUUUUCUAUACAGGGAUAGAGCAUUGCUCUACCGCGACCUUAUUCUUCAACCUACUCGACAAAUAAGCAUCGAUCCUGUGUUAACUUGUGCAGAGGGAAACCGGUGCCACCUAAAAAUAAAUGUCUAUCUCCUUUUCGUGCAUCUCGAAUACAUGAUCCCGCGCCUCCGAAAGAGCAACCUGCAGUGGCUCAGAAUAAGACAUGAAUUGAAAUUAAAUAUGCAUUCAUACAUAACCAUUGAUCGAUGAAAUCAAACUAAACUAACCUGUCCAAAUUUUGUGAAGAAGUUGUUCGCAAGAUUCAAUGAUGUGACUGCCAGAUCUUCAUUAGCCUUGAGUGCUUGAGCCAAUGCAAAUGCUCCGUCAUCCUGUCAGAAAUAUAAAUGAAUUUGAGAAUACAAGAUUUCCAAAUGCCAAUAACUAAUAGGAUGAAACAGGAACACUAUGUUCACUUACUCUAAUCUCAUUAAAACCCAGGUCAAGAGAUGUCAAAGAUUCAUUGAUUAUCUUGAAACUUCGUGCUAAGCAUAUAGCACCCUUCAGGAAUUGGAAAGUGUCAGGAACCAAAGCAUGGACACUAAAGUGCAAGUUAUCAAGAAACACUAAACAAAGAUUGCUCAUACAUCAUCUCCAAGUCCAUUUGCCCGCAAAUCCAAUGUUGAUAACGUUGUGUUGUACUUGAGACAAUCAGCAAUACACUCUGCACCUUCCACACCUAUCUGCAGGUUAUGCAACUUUGGUGAGAGCACUUAAAUGCUGAAACUGCUCAUACAAUUCCAUUCAGUUCUGAGGAUCACCUGGCACCAGCCAAGCUUAAGGGUUUGGAUCUUUCCAUGGAACUUGAGGACAUCGCACAAAGCCUUUACCCCAUCUGAUCCAAUUGGAUUGUAGCUCAAAUCCAGCUACAAUGCAUUUUCUGAAUUAGUCUUAUAACUCAUUUUGUGGGCAAAUAUUGUCUGAAUGUUUAGAUGACUUACUGUUGUCAGCACCGCAUUAUCCUUCAAAGUUUCCGCUAUUACACUAACACCUUUGGAGUGAAUGUUAUUGCCACCCUGGAAAUACAAGAGGAUUCAGGGAUUCAGUAUGUACACAUAUCUUCUCUAAUGUGGUUUACCAGGGGAAUUUCAAAGAAGGUUUAUUGCCCCCCCCCCCCCCCCCCAAAUCCUCAGUUUAAGAGGUGAGAUAAUGAGAAAAGUUGUGCUAAUGACCCAAAAACUAUACUGAAUCAAUAAUUCCAAUAUCAUGUAGAGAAAAAACAUGUUUUACGCAUUGAGUAGAGAAGAGCAACUUCAGCAUAGUUCCCAUAUGUGGGAACUUAAGAAUAAACUGGAAGGUAUGUGAGAAUCUGACUUUCUGAGGGUUGCAGCCAAAUAAAUACUCACCAAGUCUAUGGUAGAAAUCGUUUUGUUAUCUUUCAGAGCCUCAGCAACCUUUUCAGCUCCCUGGUGACAUUCAUUUUAACAUACAUCAGGAUUCAUUAAAUGAAAUGCAUAAGAAUAAACAAACAUGCUUAUACACUGGAUACAGGGGGAAUCAAGUGAGGAAUCAUGAAUAUACUUAUUAUAAACAGAGAAUAUGUAAUCAUUAGCCAUGUGACUGAGAAAACAGACAUACUGGAGGAACCACAACCAGAAAUAGAGGACAGCUUCAAGGAAUAAUUCCAGACUUACCACCCAAAACAAAAUAGCAACAGGCAUUAACUUUCUGAAAAGGAUCCUAAAUAAUUUGUCUCAGGUUCCCAAGAUACAGGAAUAGCCUGGCAAAUAAUAGAGAGACUGAAAAUAACACCCAAAGCUUUAAGGUGCACUUCUAUGUGCUACAGAUCUAUACAACAACAGUAAAGCCUUUAAUCUGAAUUUCUUCUAUCAUAUAAAUCGCUAAAUGGUCAUUGGGUUAUGGUGAGUGAUUAUGUGGUUAAUUAAUUGGUUCUAGAACUGAUGGUAUGUUCAUAUGUAGACAAUCCGAUAUUUUAGCUAUUGUCAUCAUGCAAACAGAAAAUAAUUGAAGCAACAGCAUUACCUCAUCGCUAAUAUCAUUCAUGCAGAGACUGAACCACUGUAAGGACUUUGUCCUUUUGAGGAAGCUGGCAACAGGACGUAAACCUUCCGGGCUAAUGUUGUUGUUACCAAUAUCCACAAUUGUGAUCUUCCCUGUAAUUCAGCCAAGCAUGCACAUAAUUAGGAAUAAAUGUCCAAUAUGCAUAGGCUUCUUGAUAGUUUCUUUAGCCAGGAAAAAAAGGCACCUUUGUGAGCAGAUAAUGCAGACAUCAACUCACGUAUUCCCUCAUUCCCAAUCCCAUUACCAUGCAGGUGAAUUUCCUAGUGAAGGUUGAAUACUUACAUAUCAUAACCAUGAUAGGUAAAUUGAAUAUAAUAUAGAAAGUUAGAAAUAGAAAAAAAAAUCACCAGAAAGUAAUAAGCAAGAGAUUUUUUUUUCCUUUUUGUGUGUGUGUGUGGGGGGGGGGGGGUACAUGAUCUUGAAAAACAACUUCAAACACAUUACAUUCGGGUCUUAUAAAUUUUUAUUUCUUAAUAAGUUGUUCAAUUUGGUCAUAACUACCACACUAGUGCAAAUGAGCUCUACUGAUAAUCAUCCUACCAAUAUUGCCACAACAUGACUUAUAAAUUACCAACAUGUUUUUCAUCAUUUAAUAAAAAAAAACUCGACCUGCGGGGGUAAGACAGCCCCCGGGCAUUGCAUUAAGAAGAAGACCUUCUCAGGUCGAGAAAACCCCCGAACCCCUGCCCCACCCAUACACAGCGGCACCAUAGCCCAUGUGAGAACGACCACAACCGGGACUGGGCCUUAGACCUGUGCUUUGGCAUGGGACAGACGAGGGGAUUUUUUAACCUUAGCCUGAAAAUUCGCUCCCACGGGGAGUCAAACCCAGGGCCUAAGGAGUGCCGCCGGGUUCCUCAUACAAAUUUGAUGAUUAUUUUUUCGCUAUUAUGGUUCACUCCAUGCUUUACAGAUAUGUGUUCUGAAAUCCAACCAUACUGUGCCUGUUAGCAUAAAGUAGUGAGAGGGCAAAUUGAUUAUUGAUCCAUUCAAAAGUUGGACAUAUAGACAAACCUGAAAGUUUCAAAAUAUUAUUAACCCUUCAGAAAGCUAAAACAGAUACUUCUCCAUAAUUUGAUAUAUAUGCAAAGAUGGAAUGGAAUAUGGUUUGCUUUCAAACAUUUAAAAAUUUACAAAAAAAAAAAAACAUAAAACUAUGUGGAAGACUAGAGGUAUAUAAUCAAGUGUCUUGAUUAGUACCCUUAAUGACUUGUUCCCUAAAAUUCCUUGAGCUAGGCUGGAUGCACCAAGAGGACCACCAUAGUUGCCACUAGAGAAAUUGAAGAUAGCGCACCAGUAGUUAGUCAGUAAUCACACACAAUUAGUCAUCAUAGGCUGUGUUCACAAAAUCAUUUGCAUAUUCAGUAUAAAUCACAUUAAGGCUACCAAGCUGUGAGUGACUAACUUGAGAUACAAGCUCCGUAUCAAAUUAUUCUCUAAAAGGCCUUCUGCAAUACUUGCAAAACCCUGUUUCAAGGAAAAACAAAAGUAAAAGGUCUUGCAACCUUUCAAGGAUGUAAUCAUAAUAUGGUAAUUAUUUUUCCCCUAUGUAAUCAUAAUGUGGGGUUUGUGUUAUGUGUGUGUUGUAGGGCUCUCUAGCCCUCUUAUUUCUUCUUAAUAUAAUAAAGCGCAGCUCUCCUGCGUUUUCGAGAAAAAAAAAUUCAAGUGCAUGUCUUUGUCGAUGCUUAUACUUACACUGUAGUCAAUUGUAUUAUUGCUAAGCUGUAGAAAACGUAUUGAUUUAUUCUUUUUUAGCAUAUUUGAAAUUGCCUUGGCACCCUGAAAAGAAAACUGAAUGUUACAAUGAAAAAGUAGGUAAUGAGGGAGUGAGAGCAAACAAGAGGGAGAGCAAGCACCUCGUCCCCAAUAUUGAUACUGUUCAGAAGGAGUUUCUGAAUACCGAAAUUUUCAACCAAUAUAUCUGAAAGACACUGUAAGCAUUCAUGAGUGUUACAUUCAGUCAGAAGUGAAGGGAAAAUGUACUCAACUCAGUAUUGAAAACAUUUGCUGCUAUUUAUAUUUUUUGGACCAUCUCUGGUUUAAUUUGGCUACUUUCUCUAGUAAAACCAUAAACACUAAAAAUUUGAAUGACUAAUGAGGCAAAGACUCCAGUUAGAAACUAAAGAAAGUAACCAAAAUGCAACUCAGUGGUGCCUCACUGCUACCAGUGCCACAAUGAGACGCUACCCAACUGUGGAGAACAGUUAAAGAUAGGCAAGUACUAACAAAGUUAUCUCUACAUGUUUGUGAAGCCAACCACUCCAAAUUUUGAUUAAAGAUUUACCUUUAUGUGUUUUAGUUUGGAUAUUUGGAAAAUAAUAUGAAUUGUAUGACAAAAACAAGUUGUCAAAUAUUUUGGAUACCAUGUUGAUGUUGAAUAACUUAUUUAUUGCUGAAGGGAGUAUGAUUUCCAUUAAAAAAACAUGCAAAUUACAAAAUGAUAUGUGGAAUGUAGAGAUGAGAAAAUUGAGAAGACCUUAGCUCCUUCAUCCCCAAUGUCAUUUCCAGAUAAAUUGAGAGUUUUCAAAGUUGUGUUUAUCUGAAGAAUUCCAUCAAAGGCUUCUAUUCCCACAGCUGUUAUCCCAUUGCCAGAAAAGUCCACCUCUUCUGCACUCUGAAAAUGCACAUGAACAAACAUUCAUUUUCCAAAAUACUCAAAUGAGAUUAAGCUGCUACGGUAUAGAAACAGCUAGGUGUGCAAAUACACAUAUAGAAUACUAGGUAAAUUCCCCGCGCGUUGCUGCGGGAUUUUCUUAAAAAUAAAUCAUUAUAUACAAUUAUACAUAGCAUUACUAUAUAGCAUUCAAUCUAUUAUGUAUGUAUACAUAAUAUUUUGACUUGCAUGUAUUUUAUUGUAUUAGAUCUAGUAAAAAAUUGCUAAGCUAAUAGAACAAAAACUAAUAUUUGGUUACAUUAUAGAGGAAUUAAUUGAUGAUGAAACAAAUAAUGUAUGUACAUGACUUGUAUGUUAAUAGAUUAAAGAUUUUAAGUAUUUCACAUGAUAUAGAUGACAUGGUCAUUUUUUAUAAUUAACAUUGGAUGACAUGGACUUAGUGGAAAAUGAUGUGGACACUUUGCAUGAAGAGAUAGAAUAUUUAGUGGGUCACUUAGUGGGGAAUGAUGAGGACACAUUGCAUGAAGAGAGAAUUCAUCUAGUGGGGUUUAGCUUUAUAAGAGUUAUAGAUAAGGUGGAGUCAAAUAAUGCUUGAGAUCUCAGACCUUGUUAUAGGCUAAGCUUUCUGCUAGAAAAAACAGGCCCUCAUCUCCAAACUGACGACCUGUCAAGCAAUUGAGAGUUUGAGACAUAGUUAUCACUCCAUAAAUGCUGGAGCUUUAGCCCAACAUUUCCAGCCAAUGUAUUCAAACUUUAGUUCCCUUGAGUUACCUGCCAUGUUAACAGUUUUCGAAGUCCGAAUUUCUUUGUAGAACUUGUUAAGAUUUUUCCGCGACUCCUUUUCAGCACUGAGGGUAGGUGUUGACAAAUUUGAACCAGCAGCAAAGGACCACAUGAUCCCAGAAGGCGCAGAUUCUCCAGAAUUCUGGUCCUUUUUCUUCCCUGGAAUCAUAUUCUGAACCACCUUCCAUAUGACUGUCCUCUGAAACAGAGAAUUAGUAGCCAUUCCACACACCAUAUGACUGUCCUCAAAAGCUUUAAAUGUAUCAGAUAAUGAACACAAACAUAUGUUAUAUGAUCCAUUAUGUGCAAAAUCAUGAAGUCACAUCGUGAAGUAUGCUUUGUAUUUUUUCCCCUUUUUGCAAAAGUAUAAGUUGAUCCCUUUUUUUCCAAAAUGGAGUACACUAAAUACAGAACUGAUCUAUAGGCAAUACUAAUACUUUUCGAUCCAUUUUACGCCACACAGAUCACAUUUAUUUUUCACAGGAUGGAAACUAUUCCGGUAUAUCGUCAACACCAAGGGAUGUGAGCAAUUAUGACCCAAUGAUUUAGUAAGAGACUUGUGGCGGGGCAUCGCAUGUCGUAACAGCAAACAGCUUGGUACAUAAGGACGAGACAAAGGCCAUACCAAAGCUCAGCAUGAGUACUGCCCCGACCGGCACGGCGUAGGGCGCGACUUUUCUCGCAGCCGCCGCCAAGGGUGGCACGGCGGCUUCGCCCUGCGCCUCGCGGUAGGACCUCCGGGGAGCACCCCCGCGGCCGGUCCCGGGAGGCCUGUCCUGGAUGCGGAAGCCGUCGCCGAACGACACGCUCGCGGCGCGCGGCACCGCCAGGCCCACCCGGCGGCUCCCGUGUGCGAGCGGUGGCAGGGGCGGCGGCGAAGGCUUCCCGCGAAACGACGCGUGGCGACGGCGACCGGUGUGGAAGCGGAGCGGGUGGAAGGGCUUGAGGGGGCGCGGGGAGGAGAGGAGGAGCGAGGACUCCAUUGGACGCGGCGGCUGGGGGCCGGAGGAGGAAGAUGGGGGAGGAUGAGGGAGGGAGACCGGAGGCGGGCGCCGGGCGGGGGCUUUGGGAGGGGGAGCUUUUGAUGCGGGGAGAGGUAAGGUUGUAUGGAUCAUGUCGGACCGGGUUUGGACUUUACCGAUGUCCCCCUCCCACACCUGCACGUGGUUAGGCCUUGUUUAGUUCUCCCCGUAAGGCUAGUCUCCGUGCAUAAUUUUAUAACAUAGUUACCAAUAACCGAGCCAUAUAAGUUUUAUAGAAUAAAACUCCUCUCUCAUCUAAUGAAACUCCUUCAUUUAAUGACUCUGUCAAGUCAGCAUUUUUGCUUAUGUGGCACUCUAUUUAAUGUGCAUGACACUCUUAUGAAACAUGCAUUGAGACUGGCCUAAGGCCUUGUUUGGAUGUUGUCGGAUUCACCUCAAUCCACAUGUGUUGGAGUAGAUUAGGGUGAAAUUUAGUUAAAGUUACAUUCCAACCCACACCAACACAUGUGGAUUGAUGUGAAUCCGACUACAUCCAAACAAAGCCUACAAAUUUUUCAUCCAUCACAUUAAAUCUUUAAACAGAUACAGAAAACAUUAAAUAUAUAAAAAAAACUAAUUACAUAGUUUGGUUGUAAAUCGUGAAACGAAUCUUUUAAGCCUAAUUAGCUCAUAAUUAACUAUAACUGCUAUAGUAACCCAUAUGUGCUAACGACGGUUAAUUAGGCUUAAUAAAUAUAUCUCGUAGUUUCCAGACGAGCUAUGUAAUUUGUUUUUAUUAGUAUCCAAAUAUUUCUUUCAAUAUCUUAUGAAACAUCCGAUGUGACACCCAAAAACUGUAUACUCCACAACUAAACAAGACCUUAUUCUAUACUGGCCUAGUCGUACAACAAUUUUAGAGUUGGUUUUAAUGCAUGAUUAGUACGAAUAUUUUUCGACCAUAUUCGAGAUCAAAUUCGUUUAGAGAAGUUUAGAUCUAUCUGUAUCUAAGUCUGAAUAUUCAACAUUUUAUACUAUUGUCUUGUUUAGUUCCCACCAAAAACCAAAAACUUUUUAAAAUUCUCUAUCACAUCGAAUCUUACGGCACAUGCAUGGAGCAUUAAAUAUAGAUAAAAAUAAAAACUAAUUGCACAGUUUGCAUGUAAAUCGCGAGACGACUCUUUUAAACCUAGUUAUUCCAUGAUUGGACAAUGUUUGUCCAAUAAAAAUGAAAGUGCUACAGUGAAAUUCAAAAAAAAUCGCAACUAAACAAAGUCUAUAUUCACAUCCAAAUAUUUAAAUACUAUAUUUAUGAUAUAAUCGAAUUUUAUACGAUAGAGUUAAAAUUAACAAAUAUGAUAUUAAUGAUAUACAUUCAUAUCUGAUCCGUUUUUAUCUCCAGUGAUGAGUGAAACAUUUUGCGAUUGAAACAUUGUCCUCGCCACACGUAUCUCACGGCAUGUUUAGAUAAGGUAAGACUAGUUACGUAGUUGAGCUAAAAAAUAGUUCAAAUUAGUUAAAAGUUGACUAGCUAUAACAACUAGUUGAAUACUUAUCUAAAACAAUAGCUCACAAAUUAGUUUUUUUUGUUUGAAUACAUUAGAGCUAAUUUCUAGUAAUUAGCUAUUGAUUAGUCCUUAUAUCAAAUAGGCUCUAAGAGUUAUAUAUGACUUUUAGAUAUCAUCUUAUUGUGUUCGUGUACUUCCUUCAGCCUUUUAAAAUAUCGUUUUUACCUAUCGAAAAGUUUGUUGAACUUUAUAUACAAGAUAUUACUAAUAUUUAUAAUAUAUAAUAAAUAUCACUAGGGCCUUGUUUAGUUCUAAAAAAAUUAUAAAAUAGACACUAUAGCGUUUUUGUUUGUAUUUGACAAAUAUUGUCCAAUCAUGGACUAACUAGGCUUAAAAGUUUUAUCUCACAAAUUACAAGUAAAUUGUGUAAUUAGUUAUUAUUUUUAUAUAUAUUUAAUACUUCAUGCAUGCGCUGCAAAAUUUGAUGUAACGAGAAAUCUGAUUUUUUUUUAAAAAACUAAACAAGACCUAGAUUUGGGUAACCAAAUUGAGUUUCCAAAAUAAUCUCCCAAUCAUAGGUGACGUUGUGGCAUACCAUCUACAGUACCUCAUGCAUGUUGUAUUCGUUCAAUGAUCCAUGUGUCCCAGAUGAAGGAGUACAUCCCUUCUUUAGUGCAGGUGGAAGAUGAGAUAUCACUUUGGUUUCAGAUGAUCCUUUCAUGAUUGUCUAGAGAAGUGGCUUUUUCAUUGUCAUAAAUUUAGAUAUAGUAGUUUGGUUAUUCACCAUUUUUGACAACGUGGGAGGAAGCUCAUGAUUUCUGGUGGUGAUUUCCAUCUAGUGCUACUUGGGACAAGCGGCUUUAUGAGGAAGGGGCAAUGUCCAGGCCAUGAAGGAGAAGGCAAGAAAGAUCAGGAGUAUUGUUGCACGUUUGGCAACAGAGCAAACGAUGUCUAUCAAGGUGGGAGUAACAGUGACAGCUAAGUCGUAAAUAGUUUGAGUUGGGCGGUGAGUUAACUAUGGUUAGUAAGGAUUAGGUUGGUAUAUAACACCUGAGGUUGUUGUACCCUGUAGUGAAGAGCUGAAACUCUAAAACCUUAAAAAUUUUGUCUCUGUUCUUCGUCCUCAAUCCUACUUCUCUAACUAAAUCUUUAAUUUCUGAAGCUAUAUGUCCAAUUCCUAGCGGAACUGUGCUAAAAAGCCUAAUGGAUGUCAGUCCACGUUUAAAAUUAGAUGACUUCUAUAGUGGAGUAAGAAAUUUAAUUACAAAUACAUGGAGAUCAAUAGAAGGUAACGGAGGUUCACGUGGCUUCAUGAAAUUACAGAUAAAUAUGUUAGUGUAGGUAUAGAUAUAGAUAGAUUCACAUUAUGUGCUGAUUUGUCAAAAAAUGUUAGAAAAAAGAAAUAUAAAAAAGGAUGGUACGGGAUUUUAUUUAGGAGACUUUUAUAUAUAUGUCAUUAUAAAAGUUGGUUAUUACCUAUAAGCUAUUAAAAAGCUAAGUUUUCACAGAUGUCACUGCUCUGAACUCUUUUAUCCUCUAUGCCACUUCGUCAGAUUUGACUCUAACACUGCGAGUAUGAAAAGUAAAAAAUACACUCAUGUCUAAAUAUCUAAUUAUUUUUUUGAGCAUCUUAACGAUCUCAAAUGAAAAAACUCAAAACUAGAAUGUCAUAUCUUUUUUUAUGGAAUUCAAUGAAGAUAAUUUUUAUACAAAACUUACAGAUAUUAUCGAGAUCUAUAACUUUGUAGUUCUGAGUUUUUUCAUUUGAGGUCACUAAGAUGCUCCAAAAAAAUUACAUAUUCAGCCUUAAAGAUAUUUUUGACUUUUCACACUCGCGGUUUGACACUGUUAGAGCCAAAUCUGACAGAAAUGGCAUGAAAGACAAAAGAGUUUAGAGCAGUAAUAACUAUGGGAGCUCAACUUUUAAAUGUAAAAGCCUCUUUAUUUAGGGCGUCGUAUCGUAUGCAAACCAAGGUUGUUGUGCAACCUUGGAAACUACCGAUCUGGACCAACGAUCUGAGAUCUAGUGGCUGCAGAGAGAGGUGCGAUCAAUUUGUGAAUUAACGCUCACAUUAGCCUUAGGCCAGUCUCAAUGCAUAGUUUCAUGGCACAGUUACCAAGAUUAUAAACUAGGUAACCGAGCCACAAGAGUUUCAUGGGGAUGAAACUCCUCUCUCAUCUGAUGAAACUCUUUCAUUUAAUGACUCUGCCAAGUUAGCAAUUUUGCUUAUGUGACACCCUAUUUAAUGUGCAUGACACUCCCAUGAAACAUGCAUUGAGACUGGCCUUAGUAAUCCUUGAUUUUUUUUCAAAUUACUCUCUCCCCAAAUCCCCAAUCUGCUCGCCCGCGUAUCCAGUCCAAAAGUCACGUAUCCAGUCUAGGGUCGCGGGAAUUGUUUUCAACGACGACGAUGCCGCCGCCCGCCCGGCAGCUAGAGAUGGCGGAAGCUCGGCUGCCCGACUCAUCUGCUGGAACGACGUCUGGGCUCACCAUCGCGUGCAGCCCACAAUCGCUGGCCAGAUGGUACCCACAAUCGCCAGCCAGAUGGCGUGCAUUUGCUCUUCAUUCUGUUAAGACAUAGAAACAAUGUUGUUGGUUAAGACAUUCUGAUUGGAUUUCUAUGGGCCAUCUGUGUUGGCACUUGCUGGAGCCACUAGUGCAGCAUUGUUGGGCGCCAGUUGAGUCCACAUGUUGUUGGUUAUUGAAUAUUUUUGUUAACAUUGCCAUCUGAACUUUCUUAGCACAAGCUAAAACUAUGCACUUUGAGAUCACCAUAGACAUGAUUUCAGUUCAUUAUAUUGCAAAUUUAUCCACACAGUACACAUAUACACAGAAUUGCCAUUGGCCUUACACUGUCUGUACUCUCAAUAUUUUUCAAUCUUCAGACAAUACAAGAUAUUACACACAGGGCACACAAAAAGGCACAAUUGCUAUUGGCAUUACAUAGCAGUAGCACCCAACACACAGAACAUACAAACUCUGAAGCCGAGAAACAUCUCUGAAGCUAGCUGCAUCAAACAACUCUGAAGCACACAGAUCACAAACUAGCUACAUCUGAAAACAAGAAACAUCUAUGAAAAACAACUUUGAGCAUGGUGGCCGUGAUGUAGUGCUUCUCCUAUAUGCGGGCGUUGCUAGGUGGGCCUGACUCCUGACCGGCGUAGCAGACGUGGUGGAAAAGAGCGCAAGGGGUCGGCUCCUCCUCCGGUGACGCUCCUCCUGCACGGCGGCUCCUCCGGCUGGGCGGUCGGGCGGCAUGAGCUACUCCUCUGGCGGCGCGACUACUCCUCUAGGGGCGCUCCUCCUGCAGGCUCCUCCGGCGACCGACGAAUGAGUCAUAGGGUCGCGAGGACGACUUCUGGGGGCGCGUCUUCUAGGUCGUGAGGACUGGACGUGAGAGCAGAUUUGGCGAGGGGGUAAUUUGGAAAAAAUCAAGGAUUACUAAGGCUAAUGCGGGCGUUAGUUUGCAAAUUGAUCGCACCUCUCUCUGUAGCCACUAGAUCUCAGAUCAUUGGUCCAGAUCGGUAGUUUCGGUGUUUGACAUUGCUCCACAAAUUCUGCU
Molecule: long non-coding RNA, 74604 nt
Filed under: Sorghum bicolor (sorghum)
Lineage: Eukaryota; Viridiplantae; Streptophyta; Magnoliopsida; Poales; Poaceae
Description: long non-coding RNA (SBIC_LNC017000)
Rfam family: MIR5565 microRNA precursor family (bases 69977-70085)
Source: RNAcentral